Molecule: long non-coding RNA, 54143 nt
Filed under: Phaseolus vulgaris (common bean)
Lineage: Eukaryota; Viridiplantae; Streptophyta; Magnoliopsida; Fabales; Fabaceae
Description: long non-coding RNA (PVUL_LNC003278)
Source: RNAcentral
UGUAAGUGAGUCUCAUAUAAGCAAGUUAACAUAUCUUCAAGCCAUAGUCAAGGAAACAUUAAGAUUGUAUCCUCCUGGUCCUCUUUUGGCACCUCAUGAAAUUAUAGAGGACUGCAUUUUAAGUGGUUAUAAUAUAAAAAAAGGAACUCGUCUAAUCACAAAUCUUUGGAAGAUUCACACAGACAAGAAUGUUUGGGAAGAUCCAUUGGAGUUCAAACCUGAAAGGUUUCUUACAACUUACAAAGAUCUCGAUGUCAAAGGUCAUCAUUUUGAGCUAAUACCAUUUGGAGGUGGUAGAAGAAUGUGUCCAGGAAUAUCCUUUGGCCUUGAAGUAGUGCAAUUCUCUCUUGCUAGUAUUUUGCACUCUUUUGAAUUUUUAAGUUCAUCACCUGAUCCUAUUGACAUGACCGAAACCUUUGGAUUAACCAACACCAAAGGCACUCCACUUGAGAUUCUUAUUAAACCACGUCUAUCUUUUAGUUGUAACGAAAACAACUAAUCCAUGUGCUAGCUAUGCUGUCACAAUUUGUUUUCAUUUAAAGUACUUUUUUUCUAUAAUAUUGUUCAAAGUCUUUGUUAUCUUUGUAUUUUCAUUCAAAGUGCUUGAUAUAUUUGUACUUUCCUUCAAAGUACUUGAUAUAUUUAUAGUUUAUCUUGGUAAACUUUGAAACUCUUUCAAAUAUAUAUUAUUUUUAGUAGACUUUCUUUAUUGAGUCAGGUUAGAGAGUUGGACCGUAUUUAGAGAUUCAUUGCUUAAUUCUUAAUCGCGGAUUGAAGUGAUUAAUCCUAUUUGAACGUAAUUGUAUUUAUGUUGUCGAUCAGUUCAUUAAUGUGGAUUACGAUCUCGAUCGGUCACUGAUAAGUCUCGAGAGAUUACAUUAGUCGAUACAAUUAAUGAAUUGCUUAAUUGGUUAACCGUGACUGAUGAAGGUGUGCAAUAAUUGGAAACCAGAGGCAAAAUACAGAGUGCACUAAUUAGCUUAGCAAAUAAUAAGAAAGUGAUGCAUAACAGUUUCACAUAGAAAGAGUUUUGCAAAUCCUUCAACGGGUGGGUGCCAUUUUUACAUGCACCACAUCUCUUUUUUCAGGUAAGUCACGUACUACUUUAAUAUUUAUGUACCCUUUGAUUAAAUGCCUCAUUGGUCAAUGAGCUUACGAUUAUAACACAUCAUUUUCUUAUGCUUUCAUAUUAUAUUAAUAUUCAAAUGACCUACACUGCAAAAUGAUGUGUUAGUAUAACGUGUUUUAAUUUUAAUUAUAUCUCUAUACUUUUUUUCUAUUAGUUUUAAAAGUCUUCUCUUGAUUUGUGCGUCUUAUCUUUAGUCGGGGAUUCUUUGCAUUUUUCCAAUUUUCUCAUAUGUACCACGAGGAACAAAGUCUUGUUUUUUGAAUUUUCUUAGCAGUAAUAGAAUGAAAAUUUUGACUUAUAUGUAAAAAUAUUAUUCAGUAUUACUGGAGCAAUUUUGUCCCAUUCACUACUUUAUUGUUGAGUGGUUCAAUAUUUGUGGCUGAAGACAUCAUAUAUAUAAUAUAUGCGAACCUUAUAUUAUUUUAAUUUAUUUCUUUUACAUGAACUUGGACUUUAUUGAUUCUGGUCUAAAUUAUACACCUUAACCUACCCACAUUCACAAUUCACUUAUGAACAUCUUUUUUCUUAAAUAUCAAUUAACCUUGGAAGAUAUAUACAACAAAUAUCAAGCUAUUAAGGUCAAUAUCUUGUGUUCAUAACACAAUAUUUUUUUCUCAACAAAUCCUUAAAAUAUAUCCUUAACUAUUUUUAAUUAAAUAUUUUAAAACAUAUAUUUUUUAAUUGUUUUUUAUCGUUUAAUUUUUUAUUAAUUAAGUGACAUGAUUAUUAUUUUUCUUACCAUCUUGCGGUUAAUAUAAAAUAAAACAAUAUUAUAGUUAAUGUAAAACAAUAAGCUUAACUAACUUUAUUUUUUCAUAAAAGAAUUAUUAGAUAACGAGUUUAUCAUGUUUUUUUAGUUGUAAUUUUCAUGUCAUCAUAUACCAUAAAAAAAAGAUCAUCACCAUUGAUAUAAAUAGCAAUUAUCAAACACUUUUUCAAUGAAAAUAAUAAAAAUCACUUUUCAAUUUACAUUAAUCACAAUUUAGUUUUAUAUUAAACACAAAACAUCACAUUUUUAAUAUGUGGAAACAAGUAGCAGAGUAAUGGAAUAAAAUAAAAGUAAUGUAAACCACACAAAAUUAAACAAAAAAAAAAAUUCAAUUUUUUUUUUAAUACUAUUUAAUAAAAAUAACCUAGACCUUGAACCCUAAAUUCAUAGUAUUUUGAUUUUUAAAAAAAAUAAAUUUUGUCUUAUUUUUAAAAAAAAAUAUACAAUUUGAUCUGUUUUAUUAAAUUAACAUAAAGAGGAGGAAGUGGUGACAUGAUGUGACAAAGUUAUAAACGCACGUAUAAAAAUGUUAUAAAGUAUGAUUUAAAUUAGUAAUUACAAUUCACUGCAUAAUAAUUUAAAUUUUAAUAUUUUGAAACUUAACCUUAUAUAUUUUAAAUAUUUUUUAUGGCAGCAAACUUUGAAAAUAGUUAUUAAUUAUUAUUAUUAGUGGUAGUUAUAUCUUAUAAAAAUUACAACACAAUUUCCAAGUAAAAUCAUACUUAGUCUUUGAAAAGUUUGACUUUUCCUUCUCUCUGAAGGAAUGAAGGAUCUAUUUAACCACUCCUACUUUACCCUACCUGAAACACACAGAGCCUCAACUCGCUCAAAUGGAUUUGGUUGUAAAUUCCUUGAAUGCAACCACCAUUGCACUCGCUUCUCUAAUUCUCUUCUGUUUCUUUCUCUAUGGUCUCUUCAAAUUUUCUCGAGGGAAAGAACCUCCCACAGUUGCAGGUGCAUGGCCAAUACUUGGUCACCUUCCAUUGAUGAGUGGUUCAAAGUCACCCCACAGAACUUUGGGUGCUUUGGCCGACAAAUAUGGACCCAUUUUCACCAUCAAACUUGGUGCGAAAAGGGCUGUGGUAAUCAACAACUGGGAAAUAGCAAAGGAAUGCUUCACCACAAACGACACAGUCGUUUUCGGUCGCCCCAAGCUUGUUUCGGUGGAACUCAUGAGCUACAACCAAGCCAUGUUUGCCUUAGCACCCUAUGGUCCCUAUUGGCGAAAAAUAAGAAAGCUUACAAUUUCAGAGAUUCUCUCCCCUCAGCAAGUGAGGCAGCAACGUCAUCUUUUUGAGUCAGAGGUUCAAGAAUCGAUCAAGGAGCUCUUUGACCUUUGGCGCAGCAACAAGAAUGAGAGCGGCUAUGCCUUGGUGGACUUGAAGCAAUGGUUUUCUCAUCUGAUAUUCAACAUGGUCCUUCAAAUGAUUACAGGGAAGCGAUAUUUCAGUGCAGCAACUGUAGACGAUGAGAAGGCACAGAGAUGUGUGAGGACUGUGGAGGAGUUGAUGCGUCUGAUGGGGGUGUUCACAGUGGGAGACGCUGUUCCUUGGUUGAGACGGUUUGAUUUGGGAGGGAAUGAGAAGGCUAUGAAAGAAAUUGCUAAAGAGUUGGAUAUUAUUCUUGGUGAGGAGUUAGAGGAACACAGAAAAAGGAAGGGUUUGGGUGAAGCUAAAGAUUUCAUUGAUGUGAUGAUUUCCUUGUUUGAUGGAACAAUUACUGAUGGGGUCGAUGCAGAUACCGUUAUCAAAUCCACCAUACUGGUAUGUAUCUUCAAUAUGAACAUUAUAAUCCUUUCAAACUUCAACCGUCUAGUAUUUUAUUUUUCUUUCUAAUUUUGUUUUCUGCAUGGCACAGUAUAGCAUGGUUGAAUAGUGUAUAUUAGGGAUAACGAUCUGAGUCAACCCAUUCUAGAUAGAUAUGUCCUGUUAAAAAGUACAGAUUAAUUCUAUUGGUUUAUCUCUAAGGAAAAGAUUUCUUUAACAUCCAAAAAUAAAAUACAUACAAUUUAACAAAUCAUUAUAAUAAUAUUUUUAAAUUAAAAAAUAAUAUAACAAUGUUCUGAUUUUCAAUAAAAUUUGAAUUUUGAUUAUAAUAAUAAAUUAUUUAAUAAAAUAUUUUAUUAAAUAUAUACAUUUUUUUAAAGGUAAAUACAUUAUUACUAUUAAUUUGAAAAAUAAUAUAUUUAUAUAUAUAAUACAACCUUUAAAUUUUAUUAUAAAAAAGACUAAGGUAUUUUUUUUUUUUGAAAUGUCCCUUUUAAUUCAAUUUUAUUUUUUGUUGACAAAAAAAAUAUACUUUUUAGAAAGAUAAAAAACACCAUUUAUUAAAAAAUCAUUAUUGAAUUUUGUGAGGGUGAUAUAAAUUAGGGAUUGAGUGUAGAUUCUUCCUGCAUCUCCAUGCCUUUCUUCUUGCAUCCCAUUAUACAAAAAAUACUCAAAUUAUGCUUUGGCAUUUUUCUUUAAUUCCGAAAUGUGACAUUUAAUUUGGAAGUUAAAAUUUGUUUUGGGAUUGUACAUUAUUUCAGAUUGUACAAUCCAAAAUACAAAUUUGUAUACUAGAUUAUUGAAUUUGAAAUAAAUAAUUUUACAACUUUUGAGAAUAAGAGGUUGCUAGAAGAAAUAAAUAAGAUGAAGAAAUUAAAUAAAUUUAUGAAUUAAAAUUAGUUUAUAUAUGAAUUAAAAAUAAUAUUUUAUGUAAAUUGAUUUUAAUAUAUGAUUUUUUUUUUGUUUUAUAGAAGAACUUGUGAAUAAAACCAUAUUCUUAAUUUGUUUAAUUUGCAGACACUGAUUGCAGGAGGAACUGACACAAGUAGUGUUGUUCUUGUGUGGGCAAUGUGUUUGAUUUUGGGAAAUCCUUUGGUAUUGGAAAAAGUGCAAGCCGAACUAGACAUUCAUAUUGGAAAAGAGAAAUGCGUAAGUGAGUCUGAUAUGAGUAAGUUAACAUAUCUUCAAGCCAUAGUCAAAGAAACUUUAAGAUUAUAUCCUCCGGGUCCUCUUGCGACACCUCGUGAAUUCACAGAGAAUUGCACUUUAGGUGGUUAUAAUAUAAAAAAAGGAACUCGACUAAUCACAAAUCUUUGGAAGAUUCACACAGACAAGAAUGUUUGGGAAGAUCCAUUGGAGUUCAAACCUGAAAGGUUUCUUACAACUUACAAAGAUCUCGAUGUUAAAGGUCAUCAUUUUGAGCUAAUACCAUUUGGAGGUGGUAGAAGAAUGUGUCCAGGAAUAUCCUUUGGCCUUGAAGUAGUGCAAUUCUCUCUUGCUAGUAUUUUGCACUCUUUUGAAUUUUUAAGUUCAUCACCUGAUCCUAUUGACAUGACCGAAAACUUUGGAUUAGCCAACACCAAAGCCACUCCACUUGAGAUUCUUAUUAAACCACACCUAUCUUUUAGUUGUUAUGAAAACAACUAAUCCAUGUGCUAGUUAUGCGGUCACAAUUUAUUUUCAUUCAAAGUAUCGUUCAAAGUCUUUGCUAUCUUUGUAUUUUUGUUCAAAGUGCUUGAUAUAUUUUAAUUUUCCUUUAAUGUACUUGAUAGAUUUAUAGCUUAUCUUUGUAAACUUUGAAACUCUUUCAAAUAUAUCAUUAAUAAAAAGAAUAAUUACACCGCAUAUUCUCACUACUUUAUUCCUUCUUUAUCGAUAUUUUCUUUAUAUUUUUCAAGUCCCUCUUAUGGAAAUAAAUCUUUGUAAAUUUUUUUCCUCUAUACAUCCUUCCAACUAGUAAGGCUCUGAUUUGGAUGUGAUUUGAAUCAUUCUUUAGCUUUUCCUGUCAAUGAGAAAGGAAAUAAACGUAGAUAAACAGUUUCAAUAUCACCUGAUUGAAAGUCUAUUGUUCCUACCAAUUCAUAAAAUGUAGACAAAUGUGUAUAUGGAUCCUCAUGGUCCAUUGUUGUAAAUUGAUGGGUACUUAUCAGACUGAGGAAUGCAGGUUUCAUCUCCAAGGCGUUGGUGGUAGAAGGUAUUGCAAUACUAGAGAAAUGAUGGCCUCUGGUGCAUAGCAUAAUCUCCAAGUGUUCUCUUGGGUUGUUGAUGACUUUUUACGGCAAGUGCACUGUGUUUGUCAGAAGUAAUAAUUGUCCCUAAGAACGAAUAUCAAUCCACAAGGAACAAUGAAGUGAAUUAUUGAGUACAAAAUUCGCUAAAUAUAACAACAGAACAAUAAAAAGAGUUUUGAAGUGAUUGUGUUGACACCGAUCAAUAAUAAAAUAAACAAAGAAUUAGUUGCUUGAAUUGAAAAAAUAGGGAUUAGGUUUCAUUUUUCUCACUCUCAUGUAUUUUGAUUAGGAUGUUAAUAUUAAGUUCUUUGAUUGAAAUUGAUGGCCAUAAAAAAUUCAUUUUUAUCGAUCCCUCGCAUAUAAAAUCCUUAAAAAUGUUUCCUAAAUAUCGAUCCCUUGCAUAUUUAUAAAAACAACUUAGAAUCCCAUUGAGACGUUAAUGUCAAUUAACAUUUCAAGUUUAUCCUUAACACUCAAAUAUGUUAAGUAUUGUUGUUCAGGUUUGAACCCUAAAAAUACCUCUCGGUUAGAUUUAAGACUAUCAAUUUGUCACGGAAAGUUAAAAGUAAAACAACAAUACCAAUAAUCAAUCAAGAACUUAAUAUUAAUAUAUAAGAUAUCACCUCAAUAUAUAAGAGUUUGAGCAUAUUACUCCAAAUCCAAAAUGGUAAAAUUAGCCACGCAUACUUCUAGCACCUUCCAUUCUCCUAAUUGGGUUACAAUUCACUCUAUGGUGUUUUCCUCUCAAUCUGACACAGUAGGAUUGAGCCUCUAGCCCCCUAUUUAUCCUAAUUUUCUAGGGUUAGGUCGCUUCUUAUGUCGUGCUAAUGGGCUAAGUGAUAAAACAUAAAAAAAACCCCAAUCUUUCUGACGUAUUCUCGCUCAAGCGAGAUACUCUUGUGGCGAAAUAGUCUUUUUCUGCAUCUCUUUGCAUUCUAGGACCUACCUUCUAGCUUUAUCUUUUUAGCUCAAAUUAUUCUCCUUUACUCCAAAUCUUCAAUCCUCCCUAAAAAUAUGCAAUUAACACCAAAUUUGGGAAUAAAAUUCUCUUAUUCAAAUAAAGAUCAUACAAAAUGUAUAAAUUCAUAAAUUAGAGAUUAUUCUAUAUGUAAAUUAGCAAUAAAUCCUCCUAAGUGCCUAAAUUUUAAUAUGAAAUAUUACUGAAAUUAGACACUUAUGAGUUGUGGUGGUGGUUUUUUUUGGCUAUAAUGCUUUCUUCUUGAAAAAUAUUAAUGGGAAGGAAAAAAAUGGUUAAGGAUUCUUCUAUAGUCUCUUUGUUUUUCUGUUCUCUUUCUCUCGUUGUUUCUUGUAGCUGCCUUUUCAAUCUCUAAUUUAAACAAUUGAGGAUUCUUCUAGCAGAAACAAUUUAAGCCAUAACAGUUCUUGGAGUUAAUCUUUAAAAGGUUUAAUUUGUAUUUUUUAGAAGUUCACAGUGUAUAAAAAAAUAAUUUUCUUUAAAAAUUAGAUUCAAAUUGGUUCUACAACAAUGUGCUUUGAUAAAAGACUUUACUUUUAAAUUGUAAAGCAAGAUUCAAAUCAGCUUUCAAUAACCGUCUAUUUAAACAAUAAAACACUUUAAAUCACAUUUUAAAAUCAAAUUUGAUAUGAUGAUGUUUAAAACCAGUUCCAAAACGAGAUUUCUUAUUGAUGGUUUGUUUUUAAGUAUGAACUUGUCAUCAAAGACACCAUCCAGUUUUUAAGUUUGAUUAAUUUCUUUAGUUGUUAGAAGUAAUGAAUACGAGAGAAGAAUAACACACAAUGAUUUAUACUAAUAUGAGAGAAGUAGUGUAUAUACUCUUACUUACGAUAAAGAAUUAUAAAAAUUAAAAGAAGUAAAACUUGACGAAAUUUGUACUUCCAUCAUUAUUUUUUCCUUUAUCACUUAUUUCUAUACUCUUUCUUUAACAACAUUGUAAUAUAGCGAUUUUUUAUAACAAAAUAUGAAAUAAUUUUAAAACGUGUGAAGAAAACGGUAUGGAUGAAUGGAUACGUUAUAUUGAUAAAUAAAUAAACCACAUGCGUUGGUUUUAAUCAAGACAAUAACUUGACAUAUACAUACGUAUCUCCAAAAUUUUAUUUACCCAAUUCUUACCAAAAAUAUUUUAAAAUAAUUAAUUUGUCGUCGUAUAAAUUCUCACUUCUAAUUGAAAAAUGUAUGAGCAUAUUUAUUUUCCAAUUUGUAACAAAAUUUACGAAUUUAUAUAUAAUUUUACAAUAAUUAUUUUUUAGUUUAUUAACAUGGCAUAAAAUUAAAGUUUUCGUUUUCUUUUAUUGACAUGUUGGUCGAAUAAGAGGUUUUUUUUAUUUUAUUUUAAUUUCUUUAAUUAUUUAAUUACCUAAAUUAUUUCAAUCAACACAACAAGUAAGAUAGGACGUUUAUAAAUAAUUAUCAGAAUAAUAUUUCAUUAAGUAAACUAAUUCUUAAUAUUUUAGAACAGUUACCAACAAGUAUCCACAGUUAAAAAAUAAAAAUAAAAAUAUAAAUUUAAUAUAUUAUAAAAAAAUAGAUUUGAAUAUUACACUUAUCAAAAUUACUUUCUAUUUUAGUUUCUAAUUUUUUUUAUAGACUCUUGAAUUAAAAAAUUAAAAAUAUUUUUUAUUCAUCCCAAUCUAAAAGUGAUAGUUUAGUCUUUUGAAAUUUAAAUACUAUUUUGAGUUAUCUAAUUUAUUAAUAAUUGACAAAUUCGUUAAUAAUUAUAGAUUCAAUUGAAAAAAAUAAAGAAUAAAAAAAACAAAGCAUCAAUGACAUAAACUCAUAAUAAUGAAUCCAGACACUGAAUUACAAAACAUUAUUUUAUUUAUAUGAAUUCGAUUGCACUUUCUUUAUAAUGAUAUUUCUUUUGAGUUUUAAUUAUCUAGAAAUUUUCCAAACAAUUAUAUGUGACAAAGCAUGAACAUGAAAUCAAUAACAGUAUAUAUGAAGUUGAAUGUGUAACGAUGUGACCAUUUUACACUAUCAAUCUAUUCCAUGUUUUUCCAUUACAAUUUGAUUUGUGUGCUUAAAGUGAUCAAUCAUGGAUGCAAAUAAUGAUGAAAUAGAAAUUAAUAUGCUCAUAAAAAAAUAAAGGCAACGUUGGUGUACCUAACAUGGUGGUGACGAACUACAUCAACUACAUUAGAACAGUUCUUUUAUGGGUGGUGUGUGUGCUGCCUUAUGUGAAUAAGGAAAAUUUUACGUAUAUAUUGUGGAGGUAGGAAAAGUUUUAUCUACCCCACGGGACGCCAAAUGUUCUAGCCAAGAGGGAUGUCUCCCUACUAAAGCGUACAAUUAAGCCAGAAACAAUGGUUUCUAGCCCUAAAGUGUUUGUCAGGUCAUCUUCUUUCCCUUAUAUAAGUUAGUGCUCUCCUCCCUUUUUGUAUCCCUUCUUGUUUUGAGUUAUAUUUUCAAAUUGAUUACAAUCACAUAUAUACGGUCGAUCUCCAUAAUCAACGCACUCUCCUCUUUAUGAAAAAUAAAUAAGAUCUUUUUCAUUAAUUUCAGAGAUAGACUAUUUCACCACAUCAUCGGUCUGAUAAGUUCAUAACCAUUAUUUACAUAGAUCGACACAAAAACCAUUUCACCAUGUGAUAACACUCGAUCCAUGAUCUCACAAUACCAAAUUAAAAGAAUUCUUAAUUUUUUUUGAAAAUAAAGCUAUUUUGAAAUUGUUGUUAAAUUAUUUCAUCUUAAUAUUUAGGUCUUAUUUUCAAAAUUUGAAUUCCAACACGAUUUAUCUAUUAAUAUAACGUGUCUUAAUUUUAAUUAUAUCUCUCUAUACUUUUUUAGUAAGUUUUAAAAGUCUUGUCAUGAUUUGUGCGUGUUAUCUUUACUCGGGGACUCUUUGUAUCUUUCCAAUGUUCUCAUAUGUCCCACAAGAGACAAAGUCUCUUUUCAAUUAUUUUAGCAAUAAUAGAAAACUUACUUAUUUUAAAAUACUAUUCAGUAUUAUUAGAGCAUUCUUAUUGGGGUAAGUCAGGUACUACUUUAAUGUUUAUGUACUGUUUGAAUAAAUGUCCCAUUGAAAAAUGUGAGCAUUUUUGUCCCAUUCUUAACUUUAUUGUUUGGUAGAAAUUUUUCGUCCGGAAGAGUAAUUAAGUGGUGCAGUUUCUACCUAACUCUCCGGCCACCUGUUUAAUGCUAAUACGUCGUCAUUCGUGCUCAUAUGUUGAUGCGAAAAGAUUUAUUUCACAUUAAAAACAUAUAUUUAACAUCACAUUAUUAUAAUAAUAUAAUCAGGUUUAAAAUUAAAAAAUAAAUUAAAUAUAUGUUUAAUAUGUCUCAGUUUUUUUUUUCAGAAAAUGUUUUUUAUGAAUGAUUUAAAAUGUUUUUUUUCUUAUUUUUAUAAUUAUAAUAUAAUCUUUUAGAAUAAAAAUUUAAUUUUUAAAAAAUUAAUAUGUUUUUUCUUUUAAAAAUUUUGUUAGAAUUCUAAUAAAAUUGUCAAAAAUUUUAAAAAUAUAUUUAAGAGACGUAUUUAACUUAGUUUGAUAAGUAAGAGAUUUGUGAAAGGUAUUAAUUAAAAGAGUGGUGAUAUAUUAACACUUUUAAUGAUAAAAACACAUUUUUUUUUAAAUAAAAGUUUUCAUGUUAGACAUCAUUAUGCAGUUUUUACACUUUUUAUACUAUAAUAAAUUAAUAUUUUAUUUAUUUUUAUUUUAUUUUUUAAUUUAAAAAUAUUAUUAUAAACAAUGUAAAUGUAUGUUUUUUUAUUCACUAUAAUAAAAUCAUGAAAUAGAAACCAAUUUGUAGAAAUCAAAAUAAUUAGUUGCAAUAGUAACUAAAAAGAAAUUUGGUUUCUAAAUUAGUUUCUAUUAUUGUUAAAUAGUUUCUAAAUUGGUAUCUAAUUAGCAACUAAGGUUUUUCUACCAAAUUUAGAAACUAAAUAAUUGGUAGUUAAAAUCUUAAUUGCUAAUUAAAUAUCAAUUUAAAAACUAUUUAAUAAUAAUAUAAAUUAAUUUGAAAAACUAAUUUUGUUUACUUUCUAAAUAUUUAAUGAUUUUCUGUCUGAACAAAACUUUUCUCUAAUUAAGAAGGAGUGAUACUUUAUAAUUUGUGUUUUAUAAAUAAUUACUUUACAAUUUUGCUAUAGUGAUAUAAUAUUUAAAGUUAUCUAAUUAAUUUAUACUUUUUACAUUUAUUAUAUUAUUAUAGUUGUAAAGUAUUAUAAAAUUAUCUUUAUGUUGAGUAAAAAAUAGAUGAUUUGAUAAGUAAUUAGAGAGAUCUUUAUAAAAGUGGAGUGAUUUUUGUCUAUUAUCACUAUGAAGUUUGUUAUUGACACGAUUUUUCCAAAUUUAGAAAAUAACUAUAUUUUAAUUAUGAGUGGCGGCAAAUAUUAACUCAUCUUUUCAAGAGAGAAAUGAUAUUUUAACUAUAAAAAAUGAUUUGAUUUGAUUGAUUUAAAUAUAAAUAUAUAUUAUAAUAAGAUUGUAUAAAAUAGUAGGGUUGUUAGAAACCUAAGAACAGUGUCAGAGAGUGACUCACAAGUUAGAGAUAUUAAAAUCCAAUUUGUGUAGCCUCAAGCAUGCAUCGCAUACACAAUCUUCUCUCUUGGGUAAAAUGGAUCUAAAUGUUUCUGCAAUUGGACUUGUUUCUCUACUUCUCUUCUGUUUCUUUUUCUUUGGUCUCUUCAAAUUUUCUCAAGGAAAAGAAGCUCCCACAGUUGCAGGUGCAUGGCCAAUACUUGGCCACCUUCCAUUGUUGAGUGCUUCAAAGAGACCCCAUAGAACUUUGGGUGCUUUGGCUGACAAAUAUGGACCCAUUUUCACCAUCAAACUUGGUGCCAAAAGCGCUUUGGUAAUCAACAACUGGGAAACGGCAAAGGAAUGUUUUACCACAAACGACAUAGUCGUUUCCUCUCGCCCCAAGCUUGUUGCUGCUGAACACAUGAGCUACAACCAAGCCAUGUUUGUGGUAGCACCCUAUGGUCCCUAUUGGCGAAAAAUAAGAAAGAUUACAGUUUCAGAGAUUCUCUCCCCUCUGCGAGUGAAGCAGCUGCGUCAUGUUUUUGAGUCAGAAGUUGAAGGUUCGAUCAAGGAGCUCUUUGACUUUUGGCGUAGCAACAAGAAUGAGAGCGGCUAUGCCUUGGUGGAGUUGAAGCAAUGGUUUUCUCAUCUGAUAUUCAACAUGGUCCUUCAAAUGAUUACAGGGAAGCGAUAUUUCAGUGCAGCAACUGUGGAUGAUGAGAAGGCACGGAGAUUUGUGAGGGCUAUGGAGGAGUUCAUGCGUCUGUUCGGGUUGUUCACAGUGGGAGAUGCUGUUCCAUGGUUGAGAUGGUUUGAUUUUGGAGGGCAUGAGAAGGCAAUGAAAGAAACUGCGAAAGAGUUGGAUAGUAUUAUAGGUGAGGAGUUAGAGGAACAUAGAAAAAGGAAGGGUUUGGGUGAGAAGGUUGAUGAAGCUAAAGAUUUCAUGGAUAUCAUGAUUUCAUUGUUUGAUGGAAGAACUAUUGAUGGGGUCGAUGCAGAUACCGUAAUCAAAUCCACCCUUCUGGUAUGUAUAUUCAUUACACACACAUUAUAAUCUUUUCAAAUUUCAACAAAAUUCAACAUACAUAUAAAACGAAUUAAUAUAUAUAUAUAUAUAUAUUUAUAUUGGUGUAUGUAAAUUUUUUCUUAAGAGAUAUUUAAAAAAAAAAAUAGUUUCUAUUAUUAAUAAAUAAUUUCUAAAUUGGUAUCUAAUGUUUUAAUUAUCAAUUAUUUAGAUUUUAAAUUUUGUAGAAAUAAUCUUGGUAGCUAAUUAGAUACCAAAAUAGAAACUAAUAACUUUUUUAGUCUCUAAACUAGUAUUUAAUUUACUCAAUAUAACACCUAGUUAUAUUUGGUAUCUAAAAUUGGUUUCUAUUUAAUGAUUUUCUUGUAGUGAUGGUUGUAUAGUUUAAUAUAUACCAUGAUUGUAAAGUCUAUCUAAAGAACGAGAAUGCCGGUUAGCCUAUCCUAUAUAGGUCUGUUCCAUAUAGAAAAUGAAUGUUGAUUUUAUUGGUUUGUCUUUAAUGCUGAUUGCUUCCCAAAUGUGCACAUAAGAAAUAUAUAUUUUAAAUUAUAAAAAAUAAAUUUUGAAUAUUUUUUUUAUUAAGUUAAUCUUUUAUUUAUUUAAAUGAAUUAGAUAAAUUGUCUCACAAUAUUAUUCUCAUGAUAAUGCCUAAUAAGAUAUAGGUAAAAAAUAAUAUUAUAAUUAUGUUUUGAUUUUCUAUAAAAUUAGAAUUUUAAGGCAAAUACAUUAUUACUAUUCUAAUUUGAAAAGUAAUAUAAAAUAAUAUAUAUAUAUAUAUAUAAUACAAUUUUUAAAUUUUAUUAUAAAAAAAGAGUAAGGUAUGCUAAUGCAUUUGACAUAUGAUGAUAUGCAUUUCAGAAAGACAAAAAAACACCAUUAAAUAUUAAAAAAUCAUUAUUGAAUUUUGUGAAGGUGCUAUGAAUUAGGGAUCCACUGUAGUUUCUUCAUGCACCACCUCCAUGUCUUUCUUCUUGCAUCCCAUAGUUCAUAAAAUAUUCAAAUUAUCCUUUGAUAUUUUUCAUUGAAUGUUUUUCUUUAAUUCUGAAAUGUGGCAUUUCAUCUAGAAGUUAAAAUUUGUGUUUGGGAUUGUACAUUAUUUCAGAUUGCACAAUCCAAAAUACAAAUUUGUAUACCAGAUUAUAGAAUUUGAAAUGAAUAAUUUUAGAAAUUUUGAGAAUAAGUGGCUGCAAAAAAAAUCAUGGGGGUAUAUAUAAAAAAAACUAAUUCUUAAAAAAUGUGGGUUAUACGGGUCAACGUGCCUUAUCCCACACUUUGCCGGUAUGUGCUACGGGUUAUGCGAGGCGGGUCAACAAGUUGAAAUAGCCAGUCUACCCUGUAUUUCUUUUAGCGGGCCAAGGACUGGUCUACACGACCCACUCCGUUUUGCCAUCCAUAAUUUAAGUAACUAGUUACUAAAUAUAAAGUAUUAUAAUUAUGUGAAAUAUAUAUAAUAAAUAAUUUAUUUACGUAAAUUACACUAUAGUAAUUUUAAAUUUGAUUAGAGUAAACACUUGUAAAAUAUUCUUCUAUCAUGUCUAUUGGCAAUUUUUUCAAGUAAAUGUAUCCACAAACACUUACAAAAGAAAUAAAUAAGAAGAAGAAAUUAAAUAAAUUUUUUACAAACUAAAAUUAGUAUAUAUGAAUUAAAAAAAUAUUUUACAUAGAUUUAUUUUAAUAUAUGAUUUGUUUCCCUUAUAGAAGAACUUGUGAAUGACCAUAUUCUUAAUUUUCUUAAUUUGCAGGCAGUGAUUGCAGGAGGAACUGACACAAGUAAUAUUGUUCUUACGUGGGAAAUAUCUUUGAUUUUGAGGAAUCCUUUGGUAUUGGAAAAAGUAAAAGUGGAACUAGACAUUCAUAUUGGAAAAGAGAAAUGCGUAAGUGAGUUUGAUAUAAGUAAGUUAACAUAUCUUCAAGCCAUAGUCAAGGAAACUUUAAGAUUGUAUCCUCCUGCUCCUCUUUCGACGCCUCGUGAAUUCAUAGAGGACUGCACUUUAAGUGGUUAUAAUAUAAAAAAAGGAACUCGUCUAAUCACAAAUCUUUGGAAGAUUCACACAGAUAGUAAUGUUUGGGAAGAUUCAUUGGAGUUCAAACCAGAAAGAUUUCUUACAACUCAUAAAGAUAUUGACGUCAAAGGUCAUCAUUUUGAGUUAUUACCAUUUGGAGGUGGCAGAAGAAUGUGUCCAGGAAUAUCCUUUGGCAUUGAAGUAGUGCAUUUCUCUCUUGCUAGUUUUUUGCAUUCUUUUGAAAUUUUAAGCUCAUCACCUAAUCCUAUUGACAUGACUGAAAACUUUGGAUUAACCAACACCAAAGCCACUCCACUUGAGAUUCUUAUUAAACCACGUCUAUCUUUUAGUUGUUAUGAAAACAACUAAUCCAUGUGUUAGUUAUGCAGUCACAGUUUGUUUUCAUUCAAAGUACUUUUUUUCUAUAAUAUCGUUAAAGUCUUUGCUAUCUUUGUAUUUUCAUUCAAAGUGCUUGAUAUAUUUGCACUUUCGUUCAAUGUACUUGAUAUAUUUAUAGUUUAUCUUUGUAAACUUUGAAACUCUUUCAAAUAUAUCAUUAAUGAAAAGUAUAAUUACAUUGUAUAUUCUCGCUACAUUUACUCUUUUAUACUUAUUCCUUCUUUAUUGAUAUUUUCUUUAUAUUUUCCAAGUCCCUCUUAGUGAAUUCUCAGUGGUUAGCUGAGGACUGAGUGUAGCUCUAGGUUAAGAGUGAAUCAAUAUAAACUUCUUGUGUGAAUCUCUCUAUCCUUACACCCUUUAAACUGUUUUAGCUUUGAUUUUAUAACCUAAUGGUUAAACAACCGGUUGUUUCGCAAAAACAAAUGGUUGAUUUUCUGGAAUCAAACUAAAAACAGUUUUAUAAUUAGAUGAACAAUUUUCUAAUUGAUUGAUUCUUCACUAUGUCUUUCACUCUACCUUCAAUACUAGCGAAAAUCUUUCAAAAACAAUUCACCCCCCUCUUAUUUAAGGCUUAUAAUUCUAACAUCGUCUUCCCAUUAAUGUUAAGAAGUGUACCAAUUAAACUAUCACACACAUUCUUCUUUGCAUUAAAUCAAUACAAUGUCUGAAUUCUAACUUCGACCAAUAUGAAAGAUCAAAGAAGAUUGAUUUUUUCUUCCAUAUGUUUGUCACAAAUGACUUCUUUCUUGACUUCUGAAGGUGUGUCCUAUGUUAUUUACCUUUUCAUAAACCUCAACACUAGUUAAUGGAGUUGGUAGACUGACAGUCUUUUGAUGUCCAUUAAAGACUUUUUUCAACCUCCGGUAAGGAUGGUGACUUCUAAGAAACCUCCACUGCCAAAGAUAUACUAUCUUCCUUUCAUGUUUCAAUUGCUGAAAAGCAGUGUCUUCUUCACAUAUUGGACAUGCUUUUUGACCCUUGACACUACACCCUGAUAAGUUAUUGUAUGCCAAAAAGUUAUUUAUUGUGCAAAAGAACAUGGCAAGCAUCUUGAAAGUUUCAUUAACAAACCAGUCAAAGUGUCAUUAGCAACAUGGCUUACAGUGAAAAUACCGAGGGGUUGUAAAACAUCCUUCAUAGCUUUAAUUCCUACAGUUUCUGACCUAACUAAGUUGCGAUAAUAUAAACUGAUUUCUCUAGUUGGGAUUUUCUAUAAAAUCAUAUCCAAAGUGUUGGCUAACAGAAUUAAGAAAGUCAUGCCUAACAUUAAGAUGAAUCUCAAUCCACAUUCUUGUGGGGGAGAAGGCUUUUGGAUAUCAUUUUAGUGACCAAUGAGGUCGUGGAGGAUAUUAGGAGUCAUGGUAAGAGUGGGGCUAUUGUCAAGGUGGAUUUUGAUAAAACAUAUGACUCGAUGAUGUGACAAUUCAUGUUUUAUAUGAUGAAGAAACUAGGCUUUAGGGAGAAGUGGAUUAGGUGGAUCAAGUGUUGUUUGGUUUCUUCCUCAGUUUCUAUUUUAGUUAAUGGUAGCCCAACUUCUGAGUUCAACCCAUCUAGAGGGUUAAGGCAAGGGGACCCCUUGGUCCCUUUCCAACUCCUUAUCGUUGUCACUACUAGAAAAUCAUUAAAUAUAAACUAAUUUUAGAGAAAAAAAUAAUUAGUUAUUAUAUUGACUAAAUUAGAUAUUAUUUUAGAGACUAAAAAAAAUAUUGGUAUCACUAUGAAACUUGACAUCUAAGUUAGGAUGACACCUCAAGUAACAACAAUCAUCAUCCACCACAUGAAAAAAAUAUCAUUAAAAAAAGGAAAAAAGAAAGAAAGAAAGGAAAUACAAGCCAUAUGAGGAGACUAGACCAAAACCCAUAUACAAAAAUCCUAAGAAAAGUGAUACUUAGGUAAUAUAUCCCUACUAAUAAAGAAUUCUAAGAAAAAACUAGAUGGAAGCCUAUUAACCAAUUAAAUUAUUCUAUAUGAAUAAACCCUAAGUUAGCAAGCUUAUCAGCACAUUCCUUUCCUUAAAAAAAAAAAAAGUGAGAAAUCCCACAUCUGAUUUUCCCAUAGAAAUGAAGGCAAGUGUUCCACCUAUUAUGAAGAAUCCAAGGAACCUUAGUCAUAGUAGUAAAUGCAGCACAAACCAAGGUAGAAUCACAUUCAAGUCAUAAACUAGUAAGACCCAUCUUUUUAGUUUCAUAAAAGGCCUAUAUAACUCCCUAAAACUCAACAACCAAAGUAAUCUAAAAAUCAAGGAAAGCAGAGAAACCACCAAUAAAAUACCACCACAAGCGGCAAAACCAGGAUAACCCCUAGUAACACUAUCAUUAUUAAUUUUAACCCAACCUAGUGAAGGAAACUCUCAUCUAAUAGGAGGAGGAUGAAGAACUUUAUCAUUACGAGUACUAAUAUCAAAGAACUUAAGCACAUUGAAAUCAAACAUAUCAUUCCUUAUAGAACUUUUAGACGAAUUACACAUUAGGUAAGUAAAAUCCUUAAUGGUGGAAAUGGUCCUGAAAAGAUCAAUCUUAACCUGAAAUCUAACAUAAUUUCUCAUACGUCAUAUUAUCCUAGAGAAGGUAAUCACAACAAGUUUAAUCAAAUUAAACAAAUGACUACCAUCGCUCUUAAUAAAAUAAAGGAGAUCACUCACAUUAGAAAAAUGGAAUUAAGAAUAGUCUUUUAAGAUACCUAUAUUUGUUAUAAUUAAAUAUCCAAUUAUUAUUUCUAAAAUUAAAUUAAUUUUAUUACUAAAAAUUAAAUUUUAAAAAUGCAUAUUUGACUUGUAUUUAAAUUUAUUUUUUAUUUUUAAAGUGGACUAAAAUCUUUAGCUCUACCUAGGAGUAGAUCAAACAAAAAAAAUAUAUAAUUUUGAUUAGAAAAAAAUGAAAGUGACCUAAACUGGAUCUUUCAUAAGUAUUCCAUAUAAAUAAACUGAUCUGAUCGACCAACCCAGAAUUAAAAUCCAAUGUCGAUCAUGGAAUGAACCAGAAACACUUUCUAACUCACCCUACUUUUUCCAUCUGUUUUUAGGUUGAAGAUAAACGUGUUGCACUUGAUGAUCUAUAUACUGUCAUCUUCAGCACCUACCCAAUUAAUAAUUUCUACUUCCAACAAAUUUACUGGUUCACAUUUGUCGCUAUUGUUGUAUACAAAUUAUUAUAUGCUUAUUAGUCUGACAUUUUUCUUUUCUAAAUUUGCAAUUAAUAUUACUAUAAGAACAGAAGAAAUUUCACCACAGUGUCAAAUAUAUUUAUCAAUACCAGUUCAAAUAACAUCAGUAAACUUACCUAUGUUAGUACAAUUCCUAUAUAUAUAUAUGCACACUGGCUAAUGAACAAAAUGUGUAUCUUAAUGGAGUUCGUUUUGGAUUACCUUAAUGGCAGUGCCAUUGGUCUUCUUUCUCUAAUCCUCUUGUAUAUGUUUCUCUAUAAUCCCUUCAAAUUUUGUAAGGGAAAGAAGAAAGAGGCUCCCACAGUUGCAGGAGCAUGGCCAAUACUUGGUCACCUUCCACUGUUGAGUGGUUCAAAGACACCCCAUAGAACUUUGGGUGCUUUGGCUGACAAAUAUGGACCCAUUUUCACCAUCCAACUUGGUUCCAAAAAGGCUUUGAUAAUCAACAACUGGGAAAUAGCAAAGGAAUGCUUCACCACAAUCGACAUGGUUGUUUCUUCUCGCCCCAAGAUUCUCGCCUCUGAACUCAUGGGCUACAACCAUGCCAUGUUUGGCUUUGCACCCUAUGGUCCCUAUUGGCGCGAGCUUCGAAAGAUUACAACGUUAGAAAUCCUUUCCCCUCGUCCAGUGGAACAACUGCAGCAUGUUCGUGUCUCAGAACUUCAAAACUGGAUCAAAGAGUUGUAUGAUGUUUGGUGUAGCCAAAAGAGUGAGUCUGGCUAUGCCUUGGUGGAGCUGAAGCAAUGGUUUUCUCACCUCGCAUUCAACAUGGUUCUUCGAAUGGUCGUUGGGAAGAGACACUUUGGUGGUGAAAACUUAGAAGAUGAGAAAGCACAGAGAUAUGUGAGGGCUGUGGAGGAGUUCAUGCGCCUGUUCGGAGUGUUCACAGUGGGAGAUGCUGUUCCAUGGUUGAGAUGGUUUGAUUUUGGAGGGCAUGAGAAGGCAAUGAAAGAAACUGCGAAAGAGUUGGAUAGUAUUAUAGGUGAGGAGUUAGAGGAACAUAGAAAAAGGAAGGGUUUGGGUGAGAAGGUUGAUGAAGCUCAAGAUUUCAUGGAUGUAAUGAUUUCAUUGUUUGAUGGAACAACUAUUGAAGGGAUCGAUGCAGAUACCAUGAUCAAAUCCACCCUACUGGUAUGAAUGUUUAAUUUACACGUUAUAAUACUUUCUGAAAUGUGAAAUUUUAAGAAAAUUAAACUUAUAAUAAGAAAAAUAUACAUUGACAUUAUAGAACUCAUGAAGUAUUCCGUAGAAAAUAAGUAAAAUUAAAUAUCUUUUCUUGUAAAUUAAAAUUAAGUAUAACCUAAGUUAUUUUUAGUAAUAAGUUUUUCAAAUAUAAUCUUAAUUCAUUACAUGAAAAAUAUUAAAUAAAAACUAAUUUUAAAUACCAAAAUAAUUAGUUAAUAUUUGAUAUAAUUAAAGAUCAUUUUAUAAAUUAAAAAAAAUUAUUGAUAUCUAAAUUAUUUUUUUUUAUUAAUAAAAAAUUAUAAAAUAAUUUUUAAAUUGGUAUCUAACCAUUAACUACCAAGGUUUUAGCUACUUACUACUUUAUAUUCUAAAUUAGUCUCUAUUAGUCUUUUAGAGACUAGUUUAUAAUAUAAAAUAUUAGUAACUAAAACCUAAAUAACUAAUUUAGAUAUCAAUUUAGAAACUAUUUUAUAAAUUUUUAUUAAUAAUAUAAAUUAUCUUAGAUACCAAUAAUUUCUUAGUCUCUAAAUAAAUAUCUAAUUUAGUCAAAAUAGUGACUAAUUAUUUUUUAUCUUUAAAUUGGGUUGCUAUUUAAUGAUUUUUUCUAGUGAUUUUCUUCACUUAAAUAUUUUUGUUGGGUAACUUAUUUGUUUUGUAGGCAGUGAUUGUAGGAGGAAUUGACACAAACAAUACAAUUCUUACAUGGACAAUAUCUUUGAUUUUAAGGAAUCCUUUGGUGUUGGAAAACGUAAAAGAUGAACUAGACACUCAUAUUGGAAAAGAGAAAUGCGUAAAUGAGUAUGAUAUAAGUAAGUUAACAUAUCUUCAAGCCAUAGUCAAAGAAACUUUAAGAUUGUAUCCUCCUACUCCUCUUUUUGGACCUCGUGAAUUCACAGAGAAUUGCACUUUAAGAGGCUAUAAUAUAAAAAAGGGAACCCGACUAAUCCCAAAUCUUUGGAAGAUUCACACAGAUAGUAAUGUUUGGGAAGACCCUUUGGAGUUCAAACCAGAAAGGUUUCUUACAACUCGUAAAGAUAUCGACGUCAAAGGUCAUCAUUUUGAACUAUUACCAUUUGGAGGUGGUAGAAGAAUAUGUCCAGCAGUAUCCUUUGGCCUUCAAAUGGUGCAUUUCACUCUUGCUAGGUUUUUGCAUUCCUUUGAAAUUUUAAGUUCAUCACCUGAUCCUAUUGACAUGUCUGAAACAUGUGGAUUAACCAACACUAAAGCCACUCCACUCGAUAUUCUUAUUAAACCACGUCUAUCUCUUAGUUGUUAUGAAAACAACCAUUCCUUGUCUUAGCUACAUGAUUACAUUGUAUUUUUGUUCAAAGUACUUUUUUGUUCCUACUAAAUAGUUCAAAGUAUUAUAGUUCCUCUAUUAUAUAUUUGUAUUUUUGUUCAAAAUUACUUGUAAUAUUGGUAGUUUAUCUUUGUAAAUUUUGUAACUCUUUCAACUAUAUAAUUGAUGAAAGUAUGAUUACAAUUUAUAUUCUCACCAUUUUAACUUUUUUUAUUCCUUCUUUAUUGAUAUUUUCUUUAUAUUUUUCAAGUCACUCUUAUUGUUGUCUUGUUAAAAUUGAAGUUUGUAUUUUUACCUAUUUAUGUUUAAUUCAUUUUCAUGUACUAGAUACUACAAUGAUAAUUUGCUUAUUUGGCUUUAUUUCAAACAUCAAUGUUUAUCGACUCAAGACAUCAUAUAUGUCACUUCAGGGGUGAUCCAACCCAUAUUCAAAAGACUAACACAACCCUACAACACCACAUAUUCCAGACAGUUACACGCUUAACUCGGCCCAACAUCAACCGCAUACAAACUAAAACGAAAAAAGGCAAAUCAGAUGAUCAAGACACCCAUCAGAAUAAGAGAAACAAGCAACGGGAUUUAGAAGUAAUCCAAGACCAAACCUUCAAUUGAGCCAAAGAGAAGAUCUCCGAGUAAUCCAACACUCCACCUUUAAAAAUAAUCUUAUUCCUGUGACACCAAAUCUUACUAACCACCACAAGCCAAAUACUCUUCAGCCCUAAGUUGUCCGACUCAGGAGCAUUACACAACUUGAACUGCUAAAAUUGAGAGGAGUUAAGGGGGACAACUGACGAAAUGCCUAACCACACGUAACAAAGAUUCCAAACCAACCAUACUAUUCUACAGUAAAAAAAAUAGAUGAUUUAACUCCUCCUCUUUUAACCCGCAAAAGCAACAGGGAACGCUUCUGAGCUUUAUCCCUCAUCUAAAUAAAUUAACCUUAGUGGCAAUCUUAUUGUCCAACACUCUCCUAGCGGUAACAUGAGCUGAAGGCAUAGCCUUAAUCCUCCAAAAUAUUUUGAACAUCUUCGUACAAUCCCCCUUAGAAUCCCCUCUUAGAAUCCCAUAAGCCGAUUUCACUGAGAACUCUUGGAACUUACCGUCUUUCCAAACCCACCUAUCAACUUUUUCCAAGAUAGGACACAAGACAUGCACUACCUCUAGAAGUUGUCUAACCUGAUCCUCCUCCCAAUCAAAAAGACUUCUCCACCACGCCCAAAGGCCACUCCUAAACAUUGUUUGUCCAAAACCCACAAUGCUCCAGCAACACAUCUUUAUCGACACAAAGAGAAAAAAGCCUUGGAAACUUAUUCUUCAAGAUAUCAUUACCUACCCACUGAUCCUCCCAUAAUUUGAUACUCUUCCCAAUACCAAGUUCCCACUUAAAUUUGUCAUCGAAAUUACUUUCCCAUUUCUCCAGCUUCCAAAUCUUCUUCAAAUCUUUCCACCAAAAGGAAACAUUAUUGUUUGAGCUGUCCUCUUUCAGCUUUCUCCAGCCUUCAACCUCCUUCCACAAAUCUCCCUCAAAUCCCAACCACCAAAUUCAUUUACCCAACAAAAUCAAUUUAAAAUCCUUAAUAUUAACUACUCCAAACCCGUCGCUUCACUUAAUUUAUUUUCAUUUACUCAAUGCCACGAUCAUAAUUUGGAUACAAUACUGUUCCAAACAUUAAACUCUACUCGUUUACUCAAAACAUUACACAUCUCAACCUUAUAUUGUUGUAUUUUAUCAAUAAUUUAAAUUAUUACCUUAUACAAUUUUUCAAAUUCAUCAACCAAUAAAAAAUAUUGUAUUAUAUUUGGAUCACCUCCUUUAUUAACCAUUCAAAAUUAAAUUAUUUAUUUAAAAAUCUAAUACAAGAAAAUCAUUAAAUAGAAACCAAUUUUAAAAACAAAAAAAUAUAUUGACUAAAUUAGAAAAAAAAUUACAUACUAAAAAUAUUAUUGGUUUCUAAAUUAGUUUCUAUUAUUGAUAAAUAGUUUUUAAAUUGUUAUCUAAUUAGCUACCAAGUUUUUAAGUACCAAUUAUUUAUAUUUUAAAUUUGAUAGUAAACAUCUUGGUAGCUAAUUAAAUAUCAAUUUAAUAAUUAUUUAUCAAUAAUAGAAACUAAUUUAAAAAUCAAUAAUUGUUUUAGUCUCUAAAAUGUUCACUAAUUUAGUCAAUAUAGUAACUAAUUAUUUUUGUCAAAAAAAUUGAUUUCUAUUUAAUAAUUUUUUUUAGUGAUCGUUUAUCGUAUUUAUUUAAAUUUCAUUUCAAUCUUUUUUGAAUGAUCUAUUUAACAGCUGAAACAUUGUAAGUGAUUCUAAUAGUCUCAACCAUAUUCAUAUUAAAUUAUGUUUGUCUCCGAAAGUUAGCCAUUCUUGUAUUCUGUUACCUACACCAACAUGGUGCGUAUUAUUCAAUAAUAAACCAAAUAAUAUAUUUUUAAAAAUUUGGUGCAUAUAAAAGCCGUGUGUUACAAUUUUAUUAGUAUUAUAGACACUCAAGUAUUUUUUUAAAAAAAUUAUUAAUAGAUAUAGACUAUCUAUAUAUUUUUUUUUGUUAAUAUUCAAGGAUGCAGGUAGCUCUAUUAUGUGUCUCAUGCAGUUGUUUUUUUGUGAGGUUUAGGAUAGUGUUAUUUAUCGUAAGCUUUUUUCUGGUUCUGUAUACGGGUUGGGAUACUCUGAAGUAUCUCCUAAUUUAUUUUAAUUUUUUGGUGAUAAAAAAAAUAUGGAUUUUAGUUUAAUUCUUUAUAUUUAAAAAAAAUAUUAAUAGAUAUAAACUAUCUAUAUAUAUUUUUGUUAAUAUAUGAGUUUUAGUCUAAUUCUCUAUAUUUAUUUGUAUUUUAUUUUAUUUUUUUAAUAAUUUUUUUAUUUAAUGACAUAUUAUUGUUAUUAUUUAAAAUAUGAUGAAAUGUCAAGUUUCAUACAUAUGUUAAACAUAAGAUUUUUUUUAAAAAAAAAACUGUUAGUUGUAUGAAUAAAGAAAAUGAAUUCGGUAUGUAUAUUGUUUGAUAGUAAUCUAUGGGAGCCGCAAUAUCAACUAUUAAAAUAUCGUUUUGGUUUGAUUUAAUAUUUCAACAUUUUAAAGUUUUACAUGUAACAUAGUUUAAUCUUUUACUUAUUUUACUGAGUAUUUUCAAGAAAAGAAAUGUAGUUAACAAUAUAUUUUUAGAAAUCAAAUUGAUACAGGUUCAUCUUUCAAGAUCUACUAUAUAUCAAAGAUAAAAUUACUAAAACAAUAUAAAAUAUUCUAUGUUUAUAAUUUUUUAUUAAAAAUAAAUAAAUUUGGAUUUUUUUUUAAAUGUUUACGGUUUACCUGUAAUUUUAUGGAGUGUUUUGUCCAAUUCAAUGAUAAGGAUCUCCUUUAUCCUUUUAUUUAUAGUCACCUUAUUUAUUUCAAACCUUAUCUUCAAAAAUUGAGGACAAAAUUUAGCAGUGCACCUUUAUCUGUACUGUUGAAUUUUUUGGUCAUUGAAGAUAACACAUCAAACUCAACUCCUUCACACAUUGUUGCAUAUGAUUAGAAGCCAAAUUAAUCACGGCUUUGUGUGAAGCUUUUGUUAUUUUCAAUGCGAUCAAACAGAAAAAGACGUGUUCUGAUGGAUUAUUUUAAAUCAACAUUUCGAUAUUUUACAUGGUUAGGGUUCUUAUUAUUUGUAGUCUUGAAUUUUUUUUACGGGGUAGUUCAACCUGUAUACAAAAAUUACCUUACCAAAUUUUUAACAAGAAACAUCUACAAAGAAAUAAAAAAAAAAAAACAUAAAUGAAUCAUCCUCAUGCAUAUCAAAGAAUUCAGAACCCAGUUAGAGUAAGAAAAGAAAGCGCAACUGGACUUUGCAAAAAUUCAAGACCAAACAUUUCUUGCAUCAAAACAAACAUUUCUACCGCAUCUAUCACACCCCUAUUAAAAAUGACGGUCUAUAGUAUAAUUAGAUAGUCUCUUAUGAUCUUAUUUAUUAGGUGUUUAUGUUAGGUUUCAAUACGAUUUUAUUUAUCCAAUUUGAAUAAAUACUAAACCUAUUGCUAUUAAUUUACCAAAUGGUCAUCAAACUAUUGCUUCUCAAACUAGAACUAUGAAAUGCAUAGUUCCAAAAGUCGUGUUCAUGUAGAAACAACAACUCCUUCCAUUUUUUUCCACACCCGUUUAGGAAGGUUUUGGAUUUAUAUGAAAAAGUUUCAAAUAUAUAGCUUUUUUAUUUUGUCUCCAUGGAGAGAAAGUGAGACUCACCACAGCAACGAAUUCUGAAACGUAGUUAUCAAAAAGUUUUCAAUGAACUCAAAACAGGAGCACAAGGUUGCAAGAUUUAGGGUACAUUCAAGAAAGAUUUCCACAUUAUUUAUUAAAAAAAUUAUUGAUUUUUUUAAAAGUUCUUUAAUUUAUUAAAAAGUUUAUUUUAAAUCAUGUUGUAGAUCUCACAUCGACUAAAAAUUAGGACAUUUCAUUAUAUAUAAGUGGGUGUAACCUCACCUCAUAAGCCGAUUUUAAGAGGUUGAGUUAAGCUUAAAGUCCACUUCGUAAUAUGGUAUCAGAGUCAUUUUGAGCUUAUCCUAACUAGUGUUUGUUGGGCUUAUCAGGGCACCCGCUAUCGGACCGUUAUCGGAUCACCCAUAAUAUGUUAUCCCGCACACGACCUGUCACUCUCGGCGUGAGAGAGGUGUGUUGAAGAUUUCACAUCGAUUAGAGAUUAGGAUAUUUCAUUGUAUAUAAAUGGAUGCAAACCUCACCAUGAGCCGGUUUUAUGGAGUUGAGUUAGACUAAAAAUCCACUUCGUAAUAAAUCGAGUUCUCCAUAAGCUACCGAAUUUGGAUUUUGAAUAUAAAAAAAAAUAAUUAGAAUAAAAGGUUUACUUUGACAGAAACUAAUUAUUAAUUAAUGAGUAUAUACUUCAUAUAUUUGUCAUGAGAAGAAACUUAUAUACUAAGCACCUAAUUACUUGACUGAAGGCUAAAGCUAGAAGAUUCAACACAAGACCCCUUAACCUUCCCACUUUUAUAAUUUAAUUAUUAAUAUCAGUUGCAUUCUUAAGCUUGGAGAAGACAACCAAUAUCAAGCUAUUAAGGUCUCUUUUAUGUUCAUAUAUAAUACAAAUUCUGAUUUUGAAAAGUUCUCCAUGUGAGCAAGUGGAGAAGUGUGGCCAAGUUUCUAAGAAGUCUUUAUAAGACUUUCACAUCAUCACUUACAAUAAUCAAAUAACGUAAUAAUUCUCUAUUAUCCAAACCCUUUUCAAUAAAAAAUAUUUAUUUAUCAAUUUAUAUUAAUUAUAAUAUCAUUUUAUAUUAAUUAUAAAAAAAUAUAUUCUUUUAUUACGUGACUACAAUUAAACAAAUUAACAAGAUAAAUAAAAAUCAUGUCAAAAAAUUAAACGAAAAGAAACUAAUUUCUAAAUUUAUAAAUUUUGAAUAUUCAAUAAAUAAUUAAUAGAAAUAAUUAAAAAUAUUCAAAUUUCUAAAAUACUUAAAAGAUAAUUACAUUUAUUUGAAAAAUUCUUCCUCUCUCAGUACACGUGUUUUGAAAAAAAUCCAACUUAUUUUAGUUUCUUGUAUAAACUUAUCUGGCAUCUUUGGUUGAGUUCACGACAUCCAUUAACUUUUCACAUCAAACAAAAAGAUUUAUGGAAAAGAUUUUUUGAGACCAUAUGCACUGAAAACAUGAACUUCACAUCAUAUUAUAAUAAUACAAUAAUAUUUUAAAUUAAAAAAUAAAAUAAAAUAUAAUUAGAAUACUAUUUUAUUAAUUUAUGAAGUAUAUAUAUUUAAUAUUAUUUGUUGUACCACCCAUAAUCUAUUUAAGAAUACCACUAGCAUUGGACUUGACAAAGCUCAAAUGGAUUUUGUUCUACACUACUUGAAUACCACUACCAUUGCACUUCUUUCUCUAAUCAUCUUCUGUUUAUUCUUCUAUAAUCCCUUCAAAAAAUUUCAAUCCAAAGAGGCUCCCACAGUUGCAGGAGCAUGGCCAAUACUUGGUCACCUUCCACUGUUGAGUGGUUCAAAGACACCCCAUAGAACUUUGGGUGCUUUGGCUGACAAAUAUGGACCCAUUUUCACCAUCAAAAUUGGUUCCAAAAAGGCUCUGAUAAUCAACAACUGGGAAAUAGCAAAGGAAUGCUUCACCACAAUCGACAUGGUUGUUUCUUCUCGCCCCAAGCUUCUCGCCUCUGAACUCAUGGGCUACAACCAUGCCAUGUUUGGCUUUGCACCCUAUGGUCCCUAUUGGCGCGAGCUACGAAAGAUUACAACGUUAGAAAUCCUUACUACUCGUCGAGUGGAACAGCUGCAGCAUGUUCGUGUCUCGGAACUUCAAAACUGGAUCAAACAGUUGUAUAAUGUUUGGUGCAGCCAAAAGAGUGAAUCUGGCUAUGCCUUGGUGGAGCUGAAGCAAUGGUUUUCUCACCUCUCAUUCAACAUGGUUCUUCAAAUGGUCGUUGGGAAGAGAUAUUUUGGUGGUGAAAACUUGGAAGAUGAGAAGGCACAGAGAUGUGUGAGGGCUAUGAGGGAGUUCAUGCGUCUGUUUGGGGUGUUCACAGUGGGAGAGUUUGUUCCAUGGUUGAGAUGGUUUGAUUUUGGAGGCCAUGAGAAGGCAAUGAAAGCAACUGCAAAAGAGUUGGAUAGUAUUAUAGGUGAGGAGUUAGAGGAACAUAGAAAAAGGAAGGGUUUGGGUGAGAAGGUUGAUGAAGCUAAAGAUUUCAUGGAUGUAAUGAUUUCAUUGCUUGAUGGAACAACUAUUGAAGGGAUCGAUGCAGAUACCAUGAUCAAAUCCACCGUGCUGGUACGUAUGUUUAAUUCACACGUUAUAAUGCUUUGGAAAUGUGAAACUUCAACAAAACUAAACAUAUAAAUACAACAUAAUUCUUCAUUAAAUUUGGUAUUUAGUGUUGAAACACUUGUUGUAGGGGAGAUGAGGAUUAUGGGUAGAAUUAUAUAUAUGGAUGAGGUCUAUGACUGUCUUAUUAUGUUCUAUAGACUCUAUAGGGAGUGGGAACCUUUUGAAUUUUUAUUGGUAUUCUUAAUGUAUUCCUUUUAAUUCAUUUUAUUCAUCAUUGAUAAAAUAAAUUAAAUUUGAAAUAUUUCCUCAGAAACUUACCUUAAAAACAUUACAAAACCCUAAACCAACUUCUCUUACAGAAGUACAGUUUUUUUUUUUUUGGCACAAGAAGUCUAAUUUCUUUCACUUAUUCUUUACACAAGUGUGUUUUAUCGUCUUUACCGUUUAUAUGGGGUUCAUUUGAUAGACAUGAGUGUUUUUUUGGGAGAGUGAGGGAUAUAGUGAUGUUGUGAUUGGGAGAGAAAGGGACAUUUGUGGUGUUGCGUGAAUGAAAAUCCAUGGACCACUUACAAUUUUUUUUUCUGUUUUUCUACUUUGAUUUGGUUUUUGUGAAAAAUAAUGAAAUUUUGAAAAAAAAAACUUGUAAGUUAUACAUCAUUAGUUUAGAAAUUGUUUACUUUUUCGAUGGUGGAAAUUUAUAAUGAUUAUAGAACUCAAGCAAGUAAUCCCUAGAAAAUAAAUUAAAUUAAAUAACUUUUUCUUGUAAAUUAAAAUUAAUUUUAACCUAAAUUGUUUUUAAUAAUACGUUUUCUGAACCUGAUCUUAAUUUUCUUCACUUAAAUAUUUCUCUUGGGUCACUUAUUUGAUUUGCAGGCAGUGAUAUCAGGAGGAACUGACACAACUAAUACAGUUCUUACGUGGGCAUUAUCUUUGAUUUUAAGAAAUCCUUCUGUGCUAGAAAAAGUAAAAGAGGAACUAGACAUUCAUAUUGGAAAAGAAAAAUGCGUAAGUGAGUCCGAUAUAAGUAAGUUAAUAUAUGUUCAAGCUAUAGUCAAAGAAACUUUAAGAUUGUAUCCUCCUGCUCCUACUUCGGGACCUCGUGAAUUCACAGAGAAUUGCACUUUAAGAGGUUAUAAUAUAAAAAAGGGAACCCGACUAAUCAUAAAUCUUUGGAAGAUUCAUACAGAUAGUAAUGUUUGGGAAGAUCCUUUAGAGUUCAAACCAGAAAGGUUUCUUACAACUCAUAAAGAUACUGACAUCAAAGGCCAUCAUUUCGAGUUAUUACCAUUUGGGGGUGGUAGAAGAAUUUGUCCAGGAGUAUCCUUUGGCCUUCAAAUGGUGCAUUUCAUUCUUGCUAGUCUUUUGCAUUCUUUUGAAAUUAUAAGUUCAUCACCAAAUCCUAUUGAUAUGACUGAAAUCUUUGGAUUAACCAACACCAAAGCCACUCCACUUAAUAUUCUUAUUAAACCACGCCUAUCUCUUAAUUGUUAUGAAAACAACUAAGCCUUUUAUUAGCUACGUGAUUACAUUGUAUUUUUGUUUCUACUAAAUAAUUCAAAGUACUUGCUAUGUUUGUAGUUCCUCAAAUUGUAUAUUUGUAUUUUCGUUUAUCAGUACUUGUAACAUUUGUAGUUUACUUUUGUAAAUUUUGUAACUCUUUUAAAUAUAUAAUUGAUAAAAGUAUAAUUACAGCGUAUAUUCUCACCAUUUUAACUUUUUUAUUCUUUAUUGAUUUUUUUUUUCUUAUCAUUCUUAUUGUUGCGUUGUUAAAAUUUAAGUUUGUAUUUUUGACUAUUUUUGUUUAGUUCAUUUUCAUAUACUAGAAAUAACGAUGAUAAUUUGCUUAUUUUCUUUUUUUCAAACAUCAAUGUUUAUCGACUCAAGAAAUCAUAUAUACCAAAUUUAUAUUAUUUUAGUUUUGAACAAAUCAACUUACUAUCUACUUAAUUUUUCAAUUUUUUCAACCAAUCAAAUUAGUUCAUCUUCAACUUAAUUAAUCCUACCUCGUUAUCAAUAUCUAAAAAUAAGAAUUUUCAUCAUCUUAAUAUCAAAUAAAAUUUGUUAACAUUUUUAGUUUUUUUUUUAAAGUUAUUGAGCUUUGUUUGUUUGGCCCAACUUUCUUUUUCUGUUUCAACUAGAUCUUAGUCUUUUUCUUAUAUAUACACAAUGUAUUUUACUCUCUAAUACACACAUAAAUAAGAAUUUCUUUUGUAUUUUUUUUCUCUGCGUUUCUCUCUUUUAUGCUUAAGUCGUUGUCUUCUUUUCAUUUGCAAUUAGGGUUCAUUAGAACCUCCCUCUCUCCAUUGCGAUUACGUGCGCUCCAUUUGAUGCACCACAUCAAACAAGGAAUAUUCAUCUUCAUUAACUGUAAUAUGGUAUCAGAGCUCUUCAUUCGAAGAGCUCUGUUGCGCUUCUCUAUGAUCUUUAUUUCCUCCUUUGUUGUUCUUGGUUAUCUUUUCUAUUAUCUUUCAAAAUCUUGAUUGGGUUUCAAAAUCUCUUAGACAAUGUCUAAUGAAAACCAUAGUCUUCAUAGUCUUAAUAGUAGUCACACUAUUACAUGCAAUUUUUGUGGUAAAUACGGUCAUACUGAGGUUGUUUGUUUCGCAAAGUGGGUUUUCCUUCAGGUAAUGUUAAAACCUCAAAGUUUUAUUCUACUAGAAAAGUCUACACUUUUUGUAAUCGUCUAAAAAAGUAUGGGUUUUCUCCUGGCUACAAAUUCACCAAUUGGACAUCCCAAGGCAAUAGUACAAUUACUACUGAUACUUUUUUUGAACUUUUUCCUAAAGAACAGGAUGUAAAGGGAAUUCAACUUACAUCACAAUAGUGCCAAUUAGAUAUCAAUUUAAUAACUAUUUAUCAUUAAUAGAAACUAAUUUAGAAAUUAAUAAUUUUUUAAUAUCUAAAAUGGUCUCUAAUUUAAUCAAUAUAGUAACUAAUUAUUUUUUGUCUCUAAAAUUAGUUUUUAAUUAAAUAUUAUUUUUAGUGCUUGUUUAUCGCAUUUAAAUUUCAUUUCAAUUACUCAAUAAUAAACCAAAUAAUAUAUUUUUAUAAAUUUGGUGAAUAUAAAAGUUAUGUGUUACAAUUUUAUUGGUAUAAUAGACUUUUAUCUAGUCUUUUCUUAAAACUUUUUAUUAAUAGAUAUAUACUAUAUAUGUAUAUUUUUGUUAAUAUAUGGAUUUUAAUCUAAUUUCCUAUAUUUACUUGUAUUUCAUUUUUUUUAAUAAUAUAUUUUUUAUGUAGUGAUAGAUUAUUGUUAUUAUUUGAAGUGUGAUGUGAAGUUCCAAUGUCUGAUAUGAGAUUUUUUUAUUUUUUAUUUUAAUUUUUGUGUUAGUUUAAUGAAUAAAAAAAAUGAAUUCGGUAUGUAUAUUGUUUGAUAGUAAUAUAUGGUAGCCGCAAUAUUAACUAUUAAAAUAUCAUUUUGGUUUGAUUUAAUAUUUCAACAUUAUUAAAGUUUUACAUGUAAGAUAUUUUAAUCAUUUACUUAUUUUAAUGAUAUUUUCAAGAAAAAAAAUGUAGUUGACAAUAUAUUUUUAGAAAUCAAAUUGAUACAGGUUCAUCUUUCAAGAUCUACUAUAUAUCAAAGAUAAAAUUACUAAAAGAAUAUAAAAUAUCCUAUGUUUAUAAUUCUUUUAUUAAAAAUAAAUAAAUUUGGAUUUUUUUUAAAUGUUUACGGUUUACCUGUGAUUUUAUAGAGUAUUUUGUCCAAUUCAAUGAUAAGGAUUUUUUUUUAUGAUCAAAGAAUAAAUAAAAUAAAAUGAGACAUUUCAUGAGUGUUUCAACCCUUAUACAAAACAUUCAAAACAGGUUUCCUAGCAUCCUAUCAACCAAAGAUCCAACAAACAUUACACUACAAACCAAAACAAUAAACUAGUUCAAGAUAUAGAAACCUAACAAAUACAGUUACAUCAAUCCACCAAAGAGAUCACACCAACUAAACAAGAUCUUUGUCAGCAGGCUGAAGUGCCAUAACCAAGUGUCGAACUCAAUAAAACCGAUCCUACAAGAAGAAAAUGUAAACCAAAAUUAGUUCACCAAAGAGAUCACACCCUUAGUAUAGGACACAACAUCCAACACCUAAACAAUAACUUUGCAAUAGACUGAAGUACGCCAAAUAAUCAAUUGUCAACAUCAACAAACCGAUCCUACGAGGAGGAUAAAUAAACUAGAGAUAUCCUGCAAAAAGCACACAACAACUUCCCAAACUGGAUAGAUCAGUAACCAAAAACACCACAUAUCAAUCUCCCAAAGCUCAAACACCAUAAAGAUUCAAACACCAAACCGAGAAGCAUACAUCAAAAACACUUCCUUUACCGCAGCAAUCCAGGAACAAAAUCAUCAACCUGACCCUGCCAAGUAGAAAAGACCAAAAAAACCUGCACAAACACAUUAUAUCUUUCAAACCUGCAGGAAGAAAUCAUAAGCCAAAUAGACAUGCACACAACACAAACACCUCCCAAACGCAACUCAAGGACACACACCCCAAUCCAACCUUACCAGAUGGGAGGACCUGAUGAAACCUGCAGAAAACACACCACUACUUCCGAUUCCGAUUCCGAUUCCGAUUCCGAUUCCGAUUCCGUUUAUGAGGAAAAGCAUUUAUCUAAAUUGAGGACAAAAUUUAACAUUGCACUUUAAUCUGUAUUGUUUAAUUUUUUGGUCAUAGAAGAUAACAAAUCAAACUCACCUCCUUCACACAUCGUUGCAUAUGACUAGAAGCCAAAUUAAUCACGGCUUUGGGUGAAGCUUUUAUUAUUUUCAAUGCGAUCAAACAGAAAAAGACGUGUUCCAAUGGAUUAUUUUAAAUAAACAUUUCGAUAUUUUACCAAAUCUAGAUGGUUAGUUUUCUUGUUAUUUGUAGACGGUUUAUCUUAGUGUUUUUAUUUGUAGAUAUGGUUAGAUGCUUUGUAAUUCAUCUUUAAAUCUUAUCAAUAACUUUUUUUUUUUAGCUUUUAUUUAUGAAAAAAAUCUUCGAUUUUCUUUUGCUUUUGUGACAUAGUAAAACAAAAACAUCUAUAAAUGUGUGAAACCAUGGGCAUAGUUCCAAAAGUGGUGUUCUUGAACAAACAGCAACUCCUUCCAUUUUUUUCCACACCCGUUCAGGACAGUUUUGGAUUUACGUGAAAAAGUUUUAAAUAUAUUUUUAUUUUGUCUCCAUAGAGUUAGAAAGUGAGACUCACGACAGCAACAAAUUCUGAAACGUAGUUUUCAACGAACUCAUAACAGGACCACUAGGUUGCGUGAUUUAGGGUACAUUCAAGAAACAUUUCCACAUCAAUUAUUUAAAAACUUAUUAAUUUUUCUAAUUAAGCUCUUUAAUUUAUUAAAAACUUUAUAUUAAUCAGUUCCUCGUAUAAGCUACGAUUUUUUUUUUCUAUUGUUAUGCAUAAAGAUUGGAUCACUCGUGAAUGAUAAAAAAAUUAAAAAAUUCAGAUUUUGAAUAUAAAAAAAAGUUAAUUAGAAUAAAAUAUUUUACUUUGACAGAAACUAAUUAUUAAUUAAUGAGUAUAUAUUUGUUAAUGAAGUAGUUUACUUUAUAUAUUUGUUAAUUACUUGAAGUAAGAAAAACAGUCUUUAUUAUAUAAAAAAAAGUUAAACUUCUUUUAAAAGUGAGAGAUAAGUUUGAGUGAUUUGAAAUGUUUUAUUAAGUAAACUCCACAUAACCCAAUAACCUAUGAAUUUGAAGUAAUUAAAAAUAUUCACGUUUAGUUCUAAUAAUUGUUUUUAUCAUGAGAAGAAACUUGAUAUACUAAGCACCUAAUUACUUGAGUGAAGGCUAACUCUAGAAGAUUCAACACAAGACCCCUUAACCUUCCCACAUUUAUAAUUCAAUUAAUAUCAAGCUAUUAAGGUUAAUCUCUUUUAUGUUCAUAUAUAAUACAAAUUCUUUUUUCAAUAUUACUUCAGGAAUAUUCAACUAUCUUGCAUACCCUUUUUUCUGUAUAGUGGAAAUUUUUGACUGUUUUUUUUCUGACAUUGAAAGAUUCUACAUGUGAUCAGCAAGUGGAGAAGUGUUACCAAGUUGCUCAAAAGCCUUUAUAAGACUUCCACAUCACUUACAAUAACCAACCAAGAUAUAGGUAAUAUUUCCUUAUUAUUUAUCGAUUUACAUUAAUUAUAAUACAAUUUUAUAUUAAUUAUAAAAAAAUUAUAUUUUUUAAUAAGUGAAUAAAAUUAAACAAAGUGACAAGAUAAAUCUAAUCAUGUCAAAAAAUUAAACGAAAAAGAAAACCAAGUUAAAAAUUUAUAAAUUUUGAAUAUUCAAUAAAAAAUUAAAAGUAUUGAAAUUUAUAACAUACUUAAAGAUAAUUACAUUUAUUUCAAAAGUUCUUCUUCUCAGUACACGUGUUUGAAAAAAAUCUUUGACUUCUCCGACAUCUUUGACUGAGUUCAUCACAUAUCCAUUAGACAGAGUUCUUAUGCCACAAGAGUGGAUGAAUUAAUCUUUAUUAAAUAUUUUAAUAAUUUUAUUAGUUAAUCUAAUAAUAAAAUUAGUAAUUUAAUUUACUUUGAAUUUUUUUAACAUAUAUUUAAAUUACUAAUAUCAAUUAAUAAUAUUAACCACACGUUUAAAUCAACAAUUUCACUUUAUAAUUUAUUGUACAAAAAAUUUUAGCUAACAUUUUAAAUUUCAUAUUAAAACUAUUAUAAAGUAUGAUUUAAAUUAGUAAUCAUUCACAAAUUUACAAUUCACUGCAUAAUAAUUUAAAGUUUUAACAUUUUAAAACUUAAGCUUAUAUGUUUUAAAUAUUUUUAUGUUAGCAUAAUUUGAAAAUAAUUAUUCAUUAGUAUUAUUGCUGAGAGUUACAUUUUACAAUACUUUUAAUAACAUUAAAAAGUUAAAAAUAGAUAUAAUUAAUCAUCUUUUGGUCAACGUCCAAAUUUGAGUUAAGAGAAUAUUAUAAAAUGAUUUUUCGAACAAGUGUAUUAAGUCUAAAAUAUUAUAAAAUGAUUUUUCGAACAAGUUAAAGGAGUAAUGUAAGUUAAACAGAUAAUUAAGUCUAAAACAUUAGAAAUAUUAAAUUUAUAAAAUAGCUAAAGAUAAUUAUUUUUAAUUUAUAAUUAUAUAAUUACUUAGUCUUUUGAAAAGUUGUCUUUCCCUCUGAAGCAAUGAAUGAUCUAUUUAACAACUCCUACCUCCAAACAGUAGAUACACUAAACUCCUUCAAAUGGAUUUUGUUCUAAGUUACCUGAAUACCACCACCAUUGGACUUGUUUCUCUUAUCAUCUUCUCUUUCUUUUUCUAUGGUCUCUUCAAAUUUUCUCAAGGGAAAGAAGCUCCCACAGUUGCAGGUGCAUGGCCAAUACUUGGUCACCUUCCAUUGUUGAGUGGUUCAAAGUCACCCCACAGAACUCUGGGUGCUUUGGCUGAAAAAUAUGGACCCAUUUUCACCAUCCAACUUGGUUCCAAAAAGGCUCUGAUAAUCAACAACUGGGAAAUAGCAAAGGAAUGCUUCACCACAAUCGACAUGGUUGUUUCUUCUCGCCCCAAGAUUCUCGCCUCUGAACUCAUGGGCUACAACCAUGCCAUGUUUGGCUUUGCACCUUAUGGUCCCUAUUGGCGCGAGAUACGAAAGAUUACAACGUUAGAAAUCCUUACUACUCGUCGAGUGGAACAGCUGCAGCAUGUUCGUGUCUCAGAACUUCAAAACUGGAUCAAACAGUUGUAUAAUGUUUGGUGCAGCCAGAAGAGUGAGUCUGGCUAUGCCUUGGUGGAGCUGAAGCAAUGGUUUUCUCACCUCGCAUUCAACAUGGUUCUUCGAAUGGUCGUUGGGAAGAGAUAUUUUGGUGGUGAAAACUUGCAAGAUGAGAAGGCACAGAGAUGUGUGAGGGCUGUGGAGGAGUUCAUGCGUCUGUUUGGGGUGUUCACAGUGGGAGAGUUUGUUCCAUGGUUGAGAUGGUUUGAUUUUGGAGGCCAUGAGAAGGCAAUGAAAGCAACUGCAAAAGAGUUGGAUAGUAUUAUAGGUGAGGAGUUAGAGGAACAUAGAAAAAGGAAGGGUUUGGGUGAGAAGGUUGAUGAAGCUCAAGAUUUCAUGGAUGUAAUGAUUUCAUUGCUUGAUGGAACAACUAUUGAAGGGAUCGAUGCAGAUACCAUGAUCAAAUCCACCGUACUGGUACGUAUGUUUAAUUUAUACGUUAUAAUGCUUUCAAAAUGUGAAACUUCAACAAAAACUAAACAAAACUAAACAUAUAAAUACAACAUAGUUCUUAAUUAAAUUUGGUAUUUAGUAUUGUGGUUGGUCUGGUUUUAUAACAAUGUUUAGUGGAGAUGAGGAUUAUGGGUAGAAUUAUAUGCAUGAGGUCUAGAAUUCUCUUGUUAUCUUCUAAGCUUAUAGGGAGUGUGAACCUCUUUACUUUUUAUACGGAUUAGGAUAUCCUUAAACCUUAAAGUAUGUUUUUUAAUUCAUUUUAUUUAUCAUCAUAAAAAAAAUUAAAUUUGAAUUAUUUUCUCAGAAACUGACCUUAAAAACAUUAUAAAAUACCAACUUCUCUAGCAGAAGUACAGUUUCUUUUUCUGGCACAAGAAGUCUAUUUUCUUUCACUUAUUCUUCACGCAAGUGUGUUUUAUCGUCUCUACCGUUUAUAUGGGGUUCGUUUGAUAGAGGGGAGAGAUAUGAGUGUUUUUCGGGAGAGUGAGGGAUAUAGUGAAGUUGUGAUUGAGGGAGAAAGGGACAUUUGUAGUGUUGUAUGAAUGAAAAUCAAUGGACCACUUACAAUUUUUUCUUCUUUUUCUACUUUGAUUUGGUUUUUGUGAAAAAUAAUGAAAUUUUGAAAAAAAAACUUGUAAAUUAUACAUCAUCAGUUUAGAAAUUGUUUACUUUUUCGAAGGUGGAAAUAUGCAAUGAUUAUAGAACUCAUGCAAGUAGUCCCUAGAAAAUAAAUAAAAUUAAAUAACUUUUUCUUGUAAAUUAAAAUUAACUUUAAACUAAGUUAUUUUUUAGUAAUAAGUUUUCCAAACAUAAUCUUAAUUUUCUUUACUUAAAUAUUUUUGUUGGGUGACUUAUUUGAUUUGCAGGCAGUGGUAUCAGGAGGAACUGACACAAGUAAUACAGUUCUUACGUGGGCAAUAUCUUUGAUUUUAAGAAAUCCUUCGGUGUUAGAAAAAGUAAAAGAGGAACUAGACAUUCAUAUUGGGAAAGAAAAAUGCGUAAGUGAGUCUGAUAUAAGUAAGUUAACAUAUGUUCAAGCUAUAGUCAAAGAAAGUUUAAGAUUGUAUCCUCCUGGUCCUCUUUCGGGACCUCGUGAAUUCACAGAGAAUUGCACUUUAAGAGGCUAUAAUAUAAAAAAGGGAACCCGACUAAUCACAAAUCUUUGGAAGAUUCAUACAGAUAGUAAUGUUUGGGAAGAUCCUUUGGAGUUUAAACCAGAAAGGUUUCUUACAACUCAUAAAGAUAUUGACAUCAAAGGCCAUCAUUUCGAGUUAUUACCAUUUGGAGGUGGCAGAAGAAUGUGUCCCGGAGCAUCCUUUGGCCUUCAAAUGGUGCAUUUCAUUCUUGCUAGUUUUUUGCAUUCUUUUGAAAUUAUAAGUUCAUCACCUGAUCCUAUUGAUAUGAUUGAAACCUUUGGAUUAACCAACACCAAAGCCACUCCACUUGAUAUUCUUAUUAAACCACGUCUAUCUCUUAAUUGUUAUGAAAACAAUUAAUCCAUGUGCUAGCUACGUGAUUACCUUGUAUUUUUGUUCCAAGUACUUUUUUGUUCCUACUAAAUAGUUUAAAGUACUUGUUAUGUUUGUAGUUCCUCAGAUAAAUUAUUUUAUAUUUUCGUUUUAAAGUACUUCUAAUAUUUGUUUUUUUUAUUAGUAAAGAAUAAAAUAAAUUAUUGUAAUACUUGUAAUAUUUGUAUUAUACUUUUGUAAAUUUUGUAACUCUUUCAAAUAUAUAAUUGAUAAAAGUAUAAUUAUAAUGUAUGUUGUAAUCUGUUUGCUCUGUUUCUUUGAAGUUGGAACUUGUAUAAAGGUUGAAACACUCUUAAAGUAUUUCCUUUAUUUAAUUCAUUCAUUGUUGAUAAAAAACAAUCUGAAAAAAAAUUCAAGUAGUUGACAGCUGCAACAAUCUCAAAGCUCCCAAAGCCCAUCUUGUAUGAUUUAAUCCUGUAAUGAAAAAAAUGGGCAUUUUCUUCCUGCACCCCUACAUUUUUCUUCCUGCACACCCACAAAUUUGUAAAUUUCGAAACUGACCUCCACAAUUUCAGGAUCUAAGAGUGUGUUACGGCUUCAUCAAUCCAAAAGUGAAUCAUGUUGCAUUCUGGAUGAGGGGGUAUUCCGGAAGCCUAAUUUCUAUUACGGAUUGGUGGAUCCGGAAUGAUUUUUUUCAAUUAUUGAUUUCUGAAUCCAGAAUGCAUAUUUUGAAUUACGGAUUGGCGGAUCAGGAAUGGUUUUUUCAAUUAUGGAUGUUUUGCAUUUUUUUUAUUUUGGAUUAACAUUAUCAUUCAUGUACUACUAGAAGCACCAAUCCGGGAGAUUACCGGAAGCGCCAAUCCAAAAAUUUACUGGAAGGGCCAAUCCGAAAAUUUACCAGAUUUCAUAAUCUGGAAUACAAAUUUUUUUAUAAAUGUACAGUUUAUAUAGGGACAGUUUUGUCUUUGCGCAACUUUGUGGGGGUGCAGGAAGAAAAAUGUCGGGCUGCAGGAAGAAACUGCCAAAAAAAUGAAAAAAAAUUGCAGCCUCAUCUUGUAUGGGGUUGUUUCUUCCUGCACCUCCAUAUAUUCUUCUCCCACCUCUAUAAAUUUUCAUAUUUCCAAAAAUACUCCUCUCUCCCACCUUCAUAUAUUCUUCUCUCACCUCCAUAAAUUUUCAUAUUUCCAAAAAUACUCUUAUGUAAUAUUCUGGAUUAUUUAAUCCAGAAGUCUUUUUUCAAAUUUGUAAUUAGCUUCCGGAUUACAUAAUCCAGAAGCCUUUUUUCAGGUGCAUGAUUAGUUUCCAGAUUAUAUAAUUUGAAAGUUUUUUUUAGCUUACAGAUUACAUAAUCCGGAAGUCUGUUUUCAAGCUACUCUAAGAUAAUGAAACAAGAAGGAAGCUACUCUAAAGAGAUGACACAAGAAGGCUAAAAAGUAUUUUCAUCAAGAGGUGUAGGAAGAAACAGUCCUUGUAUGAUUCAAUCCCAGUGUUAAAGCUCAGCGAAGUUUCUCAAAAGCCUUUGCACAUUAUCCUUACAAUAACCAAGAUAAUUCUUUAUUAUCCCAUCCCUUUUUAAUAAAAAAUAUUUAUUUAUCGAUUUAUAUUAAUUAUAAUAUCGUUUACAUUAAUUAAAAAAUAUAUUGUUUUAAUACAUUAAGAUAAUUAAAUAAAAUGACAAGAUAAAUAAAAAUCAUGUCAAAAAAUUAAACAAAAAAAAAUACUAAGUUAAAAAUUUAAAAAUUUCGAAUAUUCAAUAAUUUUUUUUAUUAAAAGUAAUUAAAUAUAUUCAAAUUUAUAAAAUACUUAAAAGAUAAGUACAAUUAUUUGAAAAGUUUUAGUCACGUGUGUUUUGAAAAAAAAUCCAACUUUUUUAGUUUCUUAUAUAAACUUGAGUUGGAAAAGAAUAGUUUGACAAAAAUGUACCUCUUCACCAAGCCAUCAACUUGGCUUUGAAUGAUCUAUUUAAGAAUACCACUACCAUUGAUUGUACUCAACAAAGCUCAAAUGGAUUUUGUUCUAAACUACUUGAAUACCACUGCCAUUGCAAUUCUUUCUCUAAUCCUCUUCUGUUUAUUCUUCUACAAUCCCUUCAAUCUUUUUCAAACCAAAGAGGCUCCCACUGUUGCAGGAGCAUGGCCAAUACUUGGUCACCUUCCACUUCUGACUGGUUCAAAGAGACCCCAUAGAACUUUGGGUGCUUUGGCUGACAAAUAUGGACCCAUUUUCACCAUCCAACUUGGUUCCAAAAGGGCCUUGGUAAUCAACAACUGGGAAACGGCAAAGGAAUGUUUCACCACAAACGACAUGGCCGUUUCCUCUCGCCCCAAGCUCGUCGCCGCUGAACUCAUGGGCUACAACCAUGCCAUGUUGGUCUUUGCACCCUAUGGUCCCUAUUGGCGCGAGCUACGAAAGAUUUUAACUUUAGAAAUCCUUACUACUCGUCGAGUGGAACAGCUGCAGCAUGUUCGUGUCUCAGAACUUCAAAACUGGAUCAAACAGUUGUAUAAUGUUUGGUGUAGCCAAAAGAGUGAGUCUGGCUAUGCCUUGGUGGAGCUGCAGCAAUGGUUUUCUGACCUCUCAUUCAACAUGGUUCUUCGAAUGGUCGUUGGGAAGAGAUAUUUUGGUGGUGAAAACUUGCAAGAUGAGAAGACAAAGAGAUGUGUGAAGGCUGUGGAGGAGUUCAUGCGUCUGUUGGGGGUGUUCGCAGUGGGAGAUGCUGUUCCAUGGUUGAGAUGGUUUGAUUUUGGAGGCCAUGAGAAGGCAAUGAAAAAAACUGCGAAAGAUUUGGAUAGUAUUAUAAGCGAGGAGUUAGAGGAACAUAGAAAAAGGAAGGGUUUGGGUGAGAAGGUUGAUGAAGCUAAAGAUUUCAUGGAUGUAAUGAUUUCAUUGCUUGAUGGAAGAACUAUUGAAGGGAUCGAUGCAGAUACCAUGAUCAAAUCCACCGUACUGGUACGUAUGUUUAAUUUACACGUUAUAAUGCUUUGGAAAUGUGAAACUUUAAGAGAAUUAAACAAAUAAAUACAACAUAGUUCUUAAUUAAAUGUGAAAUAUUUUCUCAGGAACUUACCUUAGUUGUGAAUAUAUAUAUUCUACUUCGUCGGUUUAGAAUCAGUUGUAUGAAAAUAUAAGGUAUAACACUUUCGUCUUAAUGAUGUAAAAGCAUUACAAAAUUCUUCACACAAGUGUGUUUUAUCGUCUUUACCGUUUAUAUGGGGUUCAUUUGAUAGACAUGAGUGUUUUUUGGGAGAGUGAGGGAUAUAGUGAUGUUGUGAUUGGGAGAGAAAGGGACAUUUGUGGUGUUGGGUGAAUGAAAAUGAAUGGACAACUUACAAGGUGUUUCAACUUUUUUUUAUAUCUCCUAGUUAAUUAUUCCAAAAGCUACAAAACAACUACCAAAUUUUCCACUCAAAUUUGGUUUUUGUGAAAAAUAAUGAAAUUUUGAGAUUUUUUUUUUAAUUGUACAUCAUCAGUUUAGAACUUGUUUAAUUUUUCCAUGGAGGAAAUGUAAAUUAUUAUAGAACUCAUGAAGUAUUCCGUAGAAAAUAAAUAAAAUUAAAUUUUUUUCUUGUAAAUUAAAAUUAAGUAUAACCUAAGUUAUUUUUAGUAAAAAGUUUUUCAAAUAUAAUCUUAAUUCACUAUAACAAAAUUAUUAAAUAAAAACUAAUUUUAGGAACCAAAAUAAUUAGUUAUUAUUUGUUUAAAUUAGAGAUCAUUUUAUAAAUUAAAAAAAUUAUUGGUAUGGAAAGUAGUUUUUAUUAUUAAUAAAAAUUUAUAAAAUAGAUUUUUAAAUUGGUAUAUAACCAUUAACUACCAAGAUUUUAACUACUUACUACUUUAUAUUCUAAAUCGGUCUCUAUUAGUCUUUUAUAGACUAAUUUAAAAUAUAAAAUAUUAGUAACUAAAAUCUAGAUAAUUAAUUUAGAUACCAAUUUAGAAAAUAUUUUAUAAAUUUUUAUUAAUAAUAGAAAUUAUCUUAGAUACCAAUAAUUUCUUAAUCUCUAAAUAAGUAUCUAAUUUAGUCAAUAUAGUGACUAAUUAUUUUUUAUGUUUAAAUUGGGUUGCUUUUAAUGAUUUUUUUUCUAGUGAUUUUCUUCACUUAAAUAUUUUUGUUGGGUAACUAUUUUGUUUUGCAGAAUGUGAUUGCAGGAGGAACUGACACAAACAAUACAGUUCUUACAUGGACAAUAUCUUUGAUUUUAAGAAAUCCUUUGGUGUUGGAAAAAGUAAAAGAUGAACUCGACACUCAUAUUGGAAAAGAGAAAUGCGUAAAUGAAUCUGAUAUAAGUAAGUUAACAUAUCUUCAAGCCAUAGUCAAAGAAACUUUAAGAUUGUAUCCUCCUGGUCCUCUUUCGGCACCUCGUGAAUUCACAGAGAAUUGCAUUUUAAGAGACUAUAAUAUAAAAAAGGGAACCCGACUAAUCACAAAUCUUUGGAAGAUUCACACAGAUAGUAAUGUUUGGGAAGACCCUUUGGAGUUCAAACCAGAAAGAUUUCUUUCAAAUCAUAAAUAUAUUGAUGUCAAAGGUCAUCAUUUUGAGCUAUUACCAUUUGGAAGUGGUAGAAGAAUAUGUCCAGCAAUAUCUUUUGGCCUUCAAAUGGUGCAUUUCACUCUUGCUAGGUUUUUGCAUUCUUUUGAAAUUGUAAGUCCAUCACCUGAUCCUAUAGACAUGACUGAAACAUUUGGAUUAACCAACACUAAAGCCACUCCACUUGAUAUUCUUAUUAAACCACGUCUAUCUCUUAGUUGUUAUGAAAACAACCAUUCCUUGUCUUAGCUACGUGAUUACAUUGUAUUUUUGUUCAAAGUACUUUUUUGUUCAUACUAAAUAGUUCAAAGUAUUGUAGUUCCUCUAUUAUAUAUUUGUAUUUUUGUUCAAAAGUACUUGUAAUAUUUGUAGUAUUAAACAUAUAAAUACAACAUAGUUCUUAAUUAAAUCUGAAAUGUUUUCUCAGGAACUUAACUUAGAUAUGAAGAUAUGUAUUUUACUUCAUCGGUUUAAAAUCAAUUGUAUGAAAAUAUAAGGUUUAACACUUUCGUUAAUGAUGUAAAAACAUUACAAAAAAUUUCAUGCAAGUGUAACACUUUCGUUUAUAUGGGAUUUGUUUGAUACAGGGGAGAGAUAUAAGUGUUCUUUUAGAGAGUGAGUAGUGACGUUGUGAUUGUUACAUAAUCUUAACAAACUAUUUAUUGUUUUCAAAGACUGGUCAAAGCAUUUAAAACUAGAGCGUAUUCAGUUAUAAAAUCAUUUAAAGCUCAUUCAAAGCACAAAAUAGUUUUCUGUUAUGGUCCCAAAACAAACAAUCAGUUGAAUGCUCGAAUCAAUCGGUUGUUUUGGUUUGACAGCAAGUCAACCAUCAAAAACAGUUUUCAACCUUUCUAAAAACACUUAAGUAUAAAACAAUUGGUUGUUUCGACAAAAUAACAGGUUAUUUUUCACUUAGUUUAAAAAAAAACUUUCAAUUAAAAGGUUUGAGAAUGCUUAAGUUUUGGAUUCAAUCAAGAGUGGAUUAACACAGACAAUCUACCCCAUAUCCUAUUCUAAAACACCUCAGCAACAGCAAACACAUCCAGCCUUCCUUCGAUCUUCAAAGGAUUUGGAUUCUUUAAAGCUUGAACACACUUGAUUCAACAAACACUACUUAGUGUUGACCUUCAAAGGACGAUCCUAAUGAUUUAGAGUAUACUACAUGUGCAAUGCAAAUCUCACAUUAUUAACUAAUUAGCAUUGUUUUUACUUAUUAAAGUUUGAACGAUCCUAUAAUAAUGUAUUUUCUUAUAGCAGAAAUAAAAGUUAAAAACUUUUCAAAAGGAAAUAGAAACUAAAAAUGAUAACAAAAUAUAAAAAUCAAGUUGGAGAAGAUAAUUUUGAGAACAUGUAUUAGUUAUGGUGACUUUAAUUGAAUUUCUCACCAUCAAUUCGGGGAAAAACAAUUUUCAACAACAAUAAAUAGUUAAAUAAAUAGAAAUAUUAGGAGUACUUCAGCCAUAUACAAAAACCUACCCUGUAGAAAAGGCUAAUACAAAGUAGGAAAAUACCCAACACCGUAUAGAUUAAUAUGAAUAUAUAUCCAUGAGUAUGGUGUAUAGAACCUCUAACAAAAAGUUAUAAUAGUGCUUCAUUCAUACAUAAUGUCAGGGAAUAAAAACGCCUAACAACACGGCCCUUCCUAUCACAAAGCUGGUACGUCUUCAGACUCACUAUCUGAUGGGGAUUUUUUGAACUGCAAUUUGAGAUUAUGUGAGCCCAGAAUUUCGGGGGAAUCAUCUAAGUUAUGGGAGAUUGGAAAGCAAUCUGGGAUAAUCUGUAGGUGGGACGAAGAAGAGGUUGUGAAAGAAUACGAUUGCAUGGAAGAGAGAGAUGUUCAGGUUAUGGAAAAGUAUGAGGAGGGUAAAAAGAAAGAGCAUCUAUGUUGAUAGUAAAUUUGAACAUAAGAAGGUUAGGGGGAAGUACUAAAGCUCGAUAUUUAAAGCACAUUAUAACUAGAGAGGAGGCGGAUUUUGUAUGUAUUCAGGAAACAAAACAGAUGGUCCUUUCGGAUGCAAGAUGCUUUUCCUUAUGGGGGGAUAAUAAUGUGGGAUGGGUACAUUACGGAGGAGACAAUGGUAGUGGUAGUCUGCUCUCUAUGUUGCAUAAAGAAGUUUUCUGCUAUGACUCUCAUGUGAUGGGGAAGGGGUUUAUUGUUGUGUUUGGCCAACAUAAGGGUUCAAAAUGUAGGUGUGUGGUGGUGAAUGUUUAUGCUAAUUGUUCCCUGAGUGAGAAGGUAUCCUUGUGGGGGGAACUGACAAACCUAAAGAAGGGUUCAGCAGACUCCGUUUGGUGCUUCUGUGGUGACUUCAAUGCCAUAAGAAAGCGGUGUGAAAGAAAAGGAGUUAAUAUGCGGGACAACCAAUCCAAUGAGAUGAGAGGUUUUAAUAGCUUCAUUGAUACUAAUUUUCUUAUUGAAAUACCUUUGGUGGGAAAGCCCUUUACGUGGUUUAAUUCAAAUGGCAAGGCUAAGAGCAGGCUAGACAGGGUGUUGGUUACCGAAGAUUGGAUGCAAACAUGGCCUAUGUGCAAGCAAUAUGUGCAACGUAGGGAGGUGUCAGACCAUUGCGCCAUAGUGGUGAAAUCUGUGGAGAAGGACUAGGGUCCUAAACCUUUCAGAUCUAUAGAUGCAUGGUAUACGGAACAGGGUUUUGGCCAUAUGGUGAAGGAAAAAUGGAUAUCCUAUCCCUCUCAGGGGAAUGCCUUCACAGUGAUAAAAGAAAAGAUGAAGAGGUUGAAGGGGGAUUUGAAGGUGUGGAAUAGGGAUGUCUUUGGAAAUCUGGAGACAACAAAGAAAUCCAUUUUGUUGGAGCUUGAGGCUCUAGAUUGCCAAGACUGUAGUGUAGGGUUAUUGGAAGAUGAGAGAUUACACAGAAUUGGUUUGGUGAGUAGAUUGAAGGAGACUGAUAAGAAGCUAGAGUCUUUGUUGUGCCAAAAAGCUAGAGCCAGUUGGUUAAAGAGUGGAGACUCAUGCACGGAAUUUUACCACACUUCUCUAAGAUGGAGACGGCUAAAAAAUGAAGUUAAAGGUGUUAAGGUGGGGGGCCAGUGGUGUGAAGAGCCUUGUACAAUCCGUGGUGAAGCUAAGAAGUUGUUUGAAAAAAGGUUUGAGGCAACAAGAGAUUUUGGUGUUAGACUUGAUGCGGUAGAGUUUAAUUCUUUAAACCAGGAGGAGAAUUUAAAGCUGAUAGCAGAGUUCACAGAGAAGGAAGUUAGGGAUGCGGUGUGGCUUUGUGAAGGUUCCAAGUCCCCAGGACCUGACGGGUUUAAUUUUCUCUUCAUAAAGAAAAGCUGGGAGUUCAUCAAAGUAGAGUUUAUGGCAGCUUUGGCUUCUUUUCAUAGUACAGGUCAUAUUCCCAAAGGUUGUAAUGCCUCUUUCAGUGCUCUUGUUCCUAAAGUUGGAGAUCCAAUCCUGCUUGAGCAGUAUCGUCCUAUCUCUUUAGUUGGGGCCACCUACAAAAUUAUCUCUAAGGUCCUAGCAGGAAGAAUGAAGAAUGUACUUUCCUCUAUUAUUAAUGAAAGCCAGUCGGCUUUUAUUAAGAACAGAGGGAUACUCGAAAGUGUGCUUAUGGGUAAUGAAGUAGUGGAGGAUCUCAGGAGGAGUGGGAGAAGUGGAUUGUGUCUGAAGGUGGAUUUUGAAAAGGCGUACGAUUCGGUUAGCUGGGUCUUCCUUUACGACAUGCUCCAAAGGUUAGGGUUCCAUAGUAAGUGGAUUGGUUGGACCAGAGGUUGUAUGGAAAGUGCAACAUUCAGUUCUGGUUAAUGGGAGCCCUGCGGAGGAAUUCAAACCCUCGAGAGGGUUGAGGCAGGGCGACCCUCUUGCGCCAUUCCUCUUUACAGUGGUAGCAGAAGGUUUGGCUGGUAUAGUAAGGCAAGCGGAAAAGGCCAGAUUACUUUCUGGUCUUAAGAUUGGGAGAAAGGAGGUUGUACUGAGUAUCCUACAGUAUGCAGAUGACACUGUUUUUUUCUGUGAGGACUCUUACACCAACGUGGUGACACUGAAAUCCAUCCUCAGGGGGUAUGAGCUCGCUUCAGGGCUGAAGAUCAAUUUUCACAAGUCAAAACUUACAGGUAUUAAUGUUCAAAGAAGUAAUCUUGAUUGCUACACAAAGACUUUGAAUUGUGUUCAGACGGGUUUCCCGUUCAAAUAUUUGGGUCUUGAAGUGGGAGGUAAUUCGAGAAAGAAGAAGUUUUGGGAGCCUGUGAUAAACAAACUUAAAGCAAGGCUCAACGUGUGGAAAGGAAGAUUCCUAUCUAUGGCAGGGAGAAUAUGCCUUAUUAAAUCUGUUUUAUCCUCCGUCCCGCUAUACUAUCUGUCACUUUUCAGAGCACCGAUCACGGUUUGUAGAAGUAUCACCAGAAUCCAAAGGAGGUUCCUAUGGGGGUGGGGGAAGGAGAAGGAGACGAUAUCAUGGGUAAGUUGGAAAGAGUUAUGUAAGCCAAAAGAGGAGGGUGGUCUGGGUUUGAGAGAUGUGCAUAACUUCAAUCUUGCUUUGCUGGCUAAAUGGAGAUGGCGUCUCCUAGUGGAUGAAAAAGUUAGGUGGAAGGAUCUGUUGGUCUCGAAGUAUGGAUCGAGUUCUAAUGCUUCACAGUCACCAGUGAAACUUCAAUCAUGAUGGUGGAGAGACUUGUUCAAAGAUUGCAGGGAGGACAGAGGAGAUGAUUGGUUCAACAAAGAGAUCGGGUGGAAGCUAGGAUGUGGGGACAAAGUAAAGUUUUGGAAAGACAUAUGGAUUGGGAACUUUAAUCUCAAAUCGAUGUACCCAAGGCUUUUUUCUUUGUCUUUAAAUCAGGGGCAAAAGGUGGAGGAGGCUAGAGUGUGGAUUGGAACGGUAUGGCAGUGGUGUUUAAGGUGGAGGCGUCCUAGAUUUGUGUGGGAAUCUGAAUUGGAAGUAGAAAUGAUGAGGCAUUUGUCGUCGAUUAAGUUGAGCAGAGAACAAAAGGACGUCCAAGUGUGGGGGAAUGAUGUAGGAAAUGGGUUCUCUGUGAAUUCUGCUUAUGAUUGCCUUACAAAACAACGUAGAGGCUCACACUCAGAGGUAUUCAUAAACCUUUGGAAGGUUAAAGCUUUCCCUAGUUUGGUGACUACAACGUGGAGGAUCCUUGUUGGGUUUAAUAGUGCCAAAGUUCAAGAGGGGGGUGAAUUGACCUUUUAAAACUUUCUCGCAGAAACAGUGUUUAACACAGUUUUACAGAAAAUAAAUCGAAUUAUGUAAAAAUGAACAGAUUUAUUUCAGCACUGUUUUUGUUUGAAAAGCUUUUAAUACAGCAAGAUUAAUCACAAGAUUAUGCAGAUAGAUUUUCCAGAUGCACACACACAGAUAUCAUAUUGAAAAACAGUGAAACACAGAAAACAACAAACCUUAAUUCCAAUUAAUGUGAUUUAGGUUCAGUUAAGGGCUUGACAAUUAGUGAGACAAUCUAUCACAUACAACCUGUUUUAUUAGCCUUUAACAGAUUAUCAGUGUUCUUGUUAAAACCAGACAGUUUUCCAGAAAUUAAGAACAAUAUGCACAGCGCCCAGAAAGAACAGAUUUAUUUUCAAUUGAACAGAUUUAUUUCUUUGCUGUUUUAUCAAUUAUGCAGAAACGAAAUUGCAGAGAGUGAGAGAGAAUGAACACAAGCANNNNNNNNNNNNNNNNNNNNNNNNNNNNNNNNNNNNNNNNNNNNNNNNNNNNNNNNNNNNNNNNNNNNNNNNNNNNNNNNNNNNNNNNNNNNNNNNNNNNUUAUACUGGUUCACUCAACUGAGCUACAUCCAGUCUUCACCAACACCAGGUGGAAAUCACUAAACCACAGUACAACCAAGUACAAUUCCCACUGUUCUUGAAACCUACAAGAACUUAGGUACUCUUGCUGAAAAAACCUAUUUCAGCACACACACACCCACUCUUCAAGAACACCUAUCAAGAAGAGUGUUCAACCAAACUAUUACAAGAAAUGAGAAGUGAAACGACUCCACCUGAUUGAGGAUACAAAGAUCUACCUUAAACCAGUAGGCAAGAUUGCUAGAACAGUAGCAGCACCUCACACCAAACUUUUGGAACCAAACCAAGAACAAGCACUUUGUGAUUUUUGAAAUCUUUGAAGAACAAAUGCUAAUCAUUUGUAAACUUUUGAUUCUUUGCUGUAAAACUUGUUUUUGCAAAUGUAUGAACUGUUGUUAAACUCAGAAACAAGUUUGCAUUUUAUAGAAAACCAACUUAUAACAGAUUUUUGAAAAACAGUUAAAGCUGUUAUAAAAUGAACAGAUUGAAAAUAAAAUGAACAGAUUUAUUUUCAAAAAACAGUUAGAGAAUUUGUUAAGUGAGGAGACUUAGUCAACCAUUCUGGUGCAGAGAUAAAACUGAAAACGUUUAAGCUUGACAUGGCACCAGAGACAAAAAGNNNNNNNNNNNNNNNNNNNNNNNNNNNNNNNNNNNNNNNNNNNNNNNNNNNNNNNNNNNNNNNNNNNNNNNNNNNNNNNNNNNNNNNNNNNNNNNNNNNNAGUCAAAAUACCUGAUGCACAAAAUCUAAUUUUCACAAGACUUAGCCAAGGCAUCAGUGUAAAAACGAAUCUGUUUAUUUAGAAAAGAACAGAUUUAUUUUUAUGCAGUAAACGUGUUUUUUGUAAAACAUGUGAAAAACAGUUUAAGAAAACUUAUGCUUGUUCUUAUCACAUGGCCAGUGGUUAUGAGGUGAGUUACUCAGCAAAAAGCCCACUCUUAGACAACCUCUAAGCACUACCUAAGACAUACUUAAAGCAAAGCAAAAUACAAAUGUAAUGUACAUAGAUGUCUUCAUCAAACACAAUCUUGAAGGAGCAACAACCAUCUUCAACAAUCCUGACGAACAGUGUACCAACAAGAGAAUGUCUAAGUAGGAGAGGGGUGAUGUUAAAUAAUGCCUUAUGUGCUCUGUGCCAGGUUAAUGCUGAAUCAUGUCAACAUCUUUUUUUGGAGUGUAAACACGCGAUGAGUGUUUGGUUCAUGUGCUUUAGAUGGGUUGGGAUUCUGUUUGUUCAACAUAAUGAUGUAAAGACCCACUUUGAGAAUUUCCACUUGUUUCAGAUUAGCAGUAAACAAAAUAUGGUUUGGAAAGGGAUUUGGACAGCAGUGGUUAGAUGCAUAUGGGACCAAAGGAAUUCGGUGGUGUUCAAGCAAGGUGUUGUGGAUGUGGAGGAGAUUUUUCAAAAGGUACAGUUAAAAUCCUGGUUAUGGGUAAAGCACCAUUCUUCUUUCUUCUCUUAUUCCUUAGUGGACUGGAUUUUGAAUCCAAUCCCCUGUAUAAAAAGCAUUAAGUAAUUGGGGCUGGUAGGUAUUGUUUCAGCUGGGAAUGUCGGGCUUGUUUAACCUCUGUGGGGCACGUGUGCAGUUAUGAAAACUUGUUAUUCUGUGCUGGAGGAUGCUCAAAUAGGUGCAGACAGUAGGCCGAAGUGAUUGGGGUACAUUAGAGGAAUUUAUCGGAUUUAUGCAGAAAGGUGGUUUGGCCACAAUGAGCAAAAGUUAGAGGCAUAGGACCAGUAAGAGGACAUGAAGUUUUGGGGUUGCUGUUUGGGUUUGCUGGGGCUGCAGAGGUCCCGUAAUGGGAUGCAAAGACGCUGAGCCUAGGGUUGUAAUAGGUGGGAUGUUGUUCGACGUGAGGAAUGGUGAGGAAUGGAGAGGUAACUUAUAUAACAACUAGGAUUUUUUUAGUGUAGAUUGACAGGGAGGAGCACCAACCAUGAAGAAUCAGAAUUGGAGAAGUUCUGGAAAAUCCUGCUGCUGGUGCAUAAACAAGAGCAGGAACUUUAUCUGUUUCUUUUUUCUUUGUCUUAGGAACAAAUCUUAUGUCUUUGGCUGAGUAAUUGAAAGCUUCUCCAUGCUUUUAAUUCUCUGGAUUGUAAUUGAGUAUUUGAUAUUUGUAUAAGGGUUGGGAUACCCCUCAAGUGUCCCGUUUUUAUUCAUUAAUUCAUUGCUGAUCAAAAAAAAAAAAAACACCACUAUACUUCUCAACCACAAUUCCUAAAAUUACGCACAAAAAUGACCCAACCAACCUUGUUACAAAUCUUAUAAAAUUAAAUAGAUACAAUUGGUAGAGCUCCAACUAAAGUAAAUUGCUUGUAGUUCAAUAGAAGGGAUUGUGUAUAUGUAUUUUAAAUUCCAAUGGUUAGUGUGAAGAAAUGACACAUAAUCAAUCUUAUACAACUCAUUUCCCCAUCUUCUAUAACAUAUGGUGUUUUUGUUCCAAUCCUAAGUUCCAUUAUAGACUGAUAACUCUUGGUUUUCAAUACUUUUAUAGAGUAAUUGCAUUUUCUUGAGGUUUUUUUUUUGUUUUUAUUUUCUAAUUUUAGAUUAGAUUUGUAUUUUCUUCCAAAUAAUAUAGUUUUAAUAAAAAUAUCAUUAAAAUUGCAUUUUAUAGUUUUUAUUUUGCUUGAAUCAUCUAACGUGUGCUUUGAUCAUUUAAAGGAACAAUUUUUGAAUUGCUUUUGAUCUUGGAAGCUUGGAAGAAGAUGUUGAUGCAUGGAGAUUGGAAACCGACACUUAAAGAGCAUAAAUUAUGCAAAAAUCAGGCAACUAACAGUAAAGAGUUAGUAGUAAAUUGGAACUAGAUGAUCAACUUAACCCUCAAAGAAAGAACUUAAGUUAGUUUAGAAUUGAUCUUUUGGGUCCAAUUGAAAGCCCAUCGUUUGUAAAAAUUAAAAACUCUAUAGAGUAUACAACACCAUUUUUCACUUUAGGCCACGUUGACAUGUCAACGGGUAAAAAAGUGUUGCCUGAAGUAGGUAUAAGUAACAGUUUGUUAUUGUUGUCCAUGCAGUAAGGCUUAUUUCUCUGUGAAAAAUAUUUGGAAAAACGUUGUCUAUUUAUUUUAAGCAACAUUUUAAAAAACGUGGGAUAAGUUAUUAAAAUGUGAUUACUUUAGGCAACGUUUUUAGAAAUGUGGAUAUUUAAUUUUAGCAUUUUAGGCAACAUUUUUUAAAAUACGGAAGCUUUAACUAAUAUUUUAAAUAAUAUUUUUAAAGUGAUUAAAUAACUUUUAGGCCAAGUUUUUAAAUUGUGGAUAAUUAAGCCCACGUAGUGUAAAGACUCGAAAUUCACCUUGUCAUUGAGCUCGAAGUUCGGACUCGAGACUAAGACUCUUGCAUAUAGACAUUGAACCAGGGGAAAUCGCGUCUAAACCCUAAGUUGAAACGAGAAUUCAAAGUCAUUUGUUACGAAUCAAGAGCGGCAUUGUGUGAAUUUUGAUCAACGGUUCAAGGUAACCAGGAGAAAUCGCCUCUAAACCCUUAAGUCAAAACGAGAAUUCAAAGUCGUUCGUUACGAACCAAGAGCGACAUUGUGUGAGUUUCGAUCAACGGUUGAAGGUAACUAGGAGAAAUCACGUCUAAACCCUAAGCUGAAACAAGAAUCUGAAGUCGUUCUUUAUGAAUCAGGAGUGACAUUGUGUGAGGUUCGAUCAACGGUUGAAGGUAAACGGUACGUUCUUCAAAUUGAUUCACCCUUCUCCAUUUCAGGUCAAUCAAUUUCUCUGUCUUCGUAUUAAUCUUUUGCUUCCGUGAUGCAUCACAAUUUUUUUUCCUUUUUAUCAUUGUUUUUCAAUCAUUAUGAUUUUUUUAGGGUUGUUUUUCCAUAUGGUUUUGUUAAUUUGCAUUUUUUUAUGAUUCCCAACAGUGAUUUGAUAAUAUAUGUAGAAUUAUGAGUGUUUAUUUUCCUGUUGAGUUGAAGUUUGGAAUGAAUAUUGGUGUUUUUGUAUUUUGGAGUAGGAGGAUCACAUGUGAAGUUAGAUGAGAUGUUGUUAACAAGACGUAACUCAUGUGGGAUUGGAAUAAUUACUCAACCAUAGUAAUAAGCAGCGAAUAAUAAUUUCCUCAACUUGUAAGAAUUUGUGAGGAUCAAUAACAAAUAAUGGCAACAACAAAAAAUACAUUGAAGAAAAAUACAAAAUUAUUAAUGUAAAAAACCUUUCCAAUGUGAGAAGUAAAAAUCACAUACACAAACCAGUCAAUCAAAUUUCACUAUAAUCAAAAUUAAAAGAGAGUAUCAUAUUAGCACAAAUUACCCUUAAUAAUCACGUUCUUAGUCUUCCGAUAGUUGUUUUCGUAUACUUGGAACCUAAUUACUUGAGUGAAGGCUAACACUAGAAGAUUCAACACAAGACCGUUUAACCUACCCACAUUUAUAAUUCAAUUAUUACUAUCAGUUGGAGGAGACAACAAAUAAAUAUCAAGCUAUUAAGGUUAAUAUCUUUUAUCUUCAAUAUACAAGUGGUUGACAGCUGCAACAAUCUCAAAGUUUCCAAGGGCCUUGCCACCUGCACUGAACAAUCAAUGAGAGAGUAAUGAUGUGAUGAAACAAAAAAUGAAAAAAAAAUUGCAGCCUCUUGUAUCAUUCAAUCCUAGUGUUAAAGCUCUUCUCUACCAUCUUGUACUUUUCUGCAGUGGAAAGUUUUGACUUCAGCAAUCCAUCAACUUGGUCUUUUCCCUCUGUAGCAAUGAAUGAUCUAUUUAACAAUACCACUUCCAUUGGACUUAACAAAGCUCAAAUGGAUUUUGUUCAAAACUACCUCAAUACCACUACCAUUGCACUUCUUUCUCUAAUCCUCUUUUGUUUAUUCUUCUACAAUCCCUUCAAUUUUUUUCACACCAAAGAGGCUCCCACUGUUGCAGGAGCAUGGCCAAUACUUGGUCACCUUCCACUUCUGAGUGGUUCAAAGAGACCCCAUAGAACUUUGGGUGCUUUGGCUGACAAAUAUGGACCCAUUUUCACCAUCCAACUUGGUGCCAAAAGGGCUUUGGUAAUCAACAACUGGGAAACGGCAAAGGAAUGUUUCACCACAAACGACAUGGCCGUUUCCUCUCGCCCCAAGCUCAUCGCGAUUGAACUCAUGGGCUACAAUGCCAUGUUUGGCUUUGUACCCUAUGGUCCCUAUUGGCGCGAGUUACGAAAGAUUGUAACUUUAGAAAUCCUUACUACUCGUCGAGUGGAACAACUGCAGCAUGUUCGUGUCUCAGAACUUCAAAACUCGAUCAAAGAGUUGCAUAAUGUUUGGUGUAGCCAAAAGAGAGAGUCUGGCUAUGCCUUGGUGGAGCUGAAGCAAUGGUUUUCUGACCUCUCAUUCAACAUGGUUCUUCGAAUGGUCGUUGGGAAGAGAUAUUUUGGUGGUGAAAACUUGCAAGAUGAGAAGACAAAGAGAUGUGUGAAGGCUGUGGAGGAGUUCAUGCGUCUGUUGGGGGUGUUCACAGUGGGAGAUGCUGUUCCAUGGUUGAGAUGGUUUGAUUUUGGAGGGCAUGAGAAGGCAAUGAAAGAAACUGCGAAAGAGUUGGAUAGUAUUAUAGGUGAGGAGUUAGAGGAACAUAGAAAAAGGAAGGGUUUGGGUGAGAAGGUUGAUGAAGCUCAAGAUUUCAUGGAUGUAAUGAUUUCAUUGCUUGAUGGAACAACUAUUGAUGGGAUCGAUGCAGAUACCAUGAUCAAAUCCACCCUACUGGUAUGAAUGUUUAAUUUACACGUUAUAAUGCUUUUGAAAUGUGAAACUUUAAGAAAAUUAAACACGUAAAUACAACAUAGUUCUUAAUUAAAUCUGAAAUAUUUUCUCAGGAACUUACCUCAGAUAUGAAGAUAUGUAUUUUACUUCGUCGGUUUAAAAUCAGUUGUAUGAAAAUAUAAGGUGUAACACUUUCGUUAAUGAUGUAAAAACAUUACAAAAUUCUUCACGAAAGUGUGUUUUAUCGUCUUUACCGUUUAUAUGGGAUUUGUUUGAUAGUGGGGAGAGAUAUAAGUGUUUUUUGGGAGAGUGAGUAGUGAUGUUGUGAUUGGGGGAGAAAGGGUAGUGAGGUUGAGAAUGGAGAUAUUGAUGGUGGAAAGGGACAUUUGUGGUGUUGCUUGAAUGAAAAUCAAUGGACCACCACUUACAAUUUUUUUUUCUGUUUUCUACUUAGAUUUGGUUUUUGUGAAAAAUAAUGAUAUUUUUGAUAAAAAAAAAACAUGUAAAUUCUACAUCAUUAGUUUAGAAAUUGUUUACUUUUUCGAUGGUGGAAAUAUACAAUGAUUGUAGAACUCAUGCAAAUAAUUCCUAGAAAAUAAAUAAAAUUAAAUAACUUUUCUUGUAAAUUGAAAUUAACUUUAACCUAAGUUAUUUUAAAAAAUAAGUUUUUCAAAGAUAACCUUAAUUUUCUUCCCUGAAAUAUUUUCGUUCGGUAACUUGUUUGAUUUGCAGACAGUGAUUGCAGGAGGAACUGACACAAGCAAUACAGUUCUUAUAUGGACAAUAUCUUUGAUUUUAAGAAAUCCUUUGGUGUUGGAAAAAGUAAAAGAGGAACUAGAUAUUCAUAUUGGGAAAGAAAAAUGCGUAAGGGAAUAUGAUAUAAGUAAGUUAACAUAUCUUCAAGCUAUAGUAAAAGAAACUUUAAGAUUGUAUCCUCCUGUUCCUCUUUCGGUACCUCGUGAAUUCAUAAAAAAUUGCACUUUGCAAGGCUACAAUAUAAACAAAGGAACCCGACUAAUCACAAAUCUUUGGAAGAUUCAUACAGAUGGUAAUGUUUGGGAAGAUCCUUUGGAGUUCAAACCAGAAAGGUUUCUUACAACUCAUAAAGAUAUUGACAUCAAAGGCCAUCAUUUCGAGUUAUUACCAUUUGGAGGUGGCAGAAGAAUGUGUCCAGGAGUAUCCUUUGGACUUCAAAUGGUGCAUUUCAUUCUUGCUAGUUUUUUGCAUUCUUUUGAAAUUUUAAGUUCAUCACCUUAUACUAUAGACAUGACUGAAACCUUUGGAUUAACCAACACCAAAGCCACUCCACUUGAUAUUCUUAUUAAACCGCGUCUAUUUCUUAGUUGUUAUGAAAACAACAAAUCCUUGUAUUAACCACGUGGUUACAUUGUAUUUUUAUUCAAAGUA